Xyrichtys novacula (pearly razorfish) is the source of this 54633-nucleotide non-coding RNA. The record is from the annotation of a GenBank genome assembly. Lineage: Eukaryota; Metazoa; Chordata; Actinopteri; Labriformes; Labridae.
CAAAAGCAAUGUUGAGACAAACGUUGAAGCUAACGGCUAACAGCUACAGGGGAACUGGGGCUGAACCCCCGCCAAAGCCACACCUGAGAGCCCGGUCAGGUGACUAGUAGACCUGGGCCUAAAAGUCAGAGAUGCCCAGCCAGGCCUCUGUGGUUCAUUCGUAUUGAAGGUAAGCGCAUAUUUUCUCAGCCUAAGCUCACGUUUGACUGGAUUUUGAUACAUGCACUGCGCUUGAGGUGGUGGAAAUUACAGUAACAAACCAGUGUUUCUGAGAUGGAGUCAUGCCUGCGUGUGCGUGGGCUUCACGUCUCAACUAGGCAGAUUUGUGCUGCAGAGCAGUUGUUGCUGUAUUGUGGAGCUGUCUGAGUGGCCUUAUGGUAAACAGUAGCAGCCUUGGUAAAAUGUGUGCAUAUGCAGUAGUUGACACUGGAGCACUACCUACUGUAUAUAUGUGUGUGUGUGUGUGUGUGUGUGUGUGUGUCUGUCUGUGUGGGUAUUUUUCACUCUGAAUAACCCAACCAGUUCUUCCAUCAUCUGUUGUACUCAGAGACUGCCAACAGCCUAGAGCAUCUCUCCAGCCUUCUUGCUGACUUUUUGACCUCUUGAGUAGAAGACGCCGCUGCAGCAAGUCUAACGUUGCAUUCAGGUGAUCAUCGGAGCUCAGCGAUCUCCAUCGCUUAAGAUAGAGAACUGAAAUUACACUUCUCCAGUUUGUCUUGCAAGAUUAAAACAAGCAACAAACAAGAAAAAUAUUAUUGGCUAUGGGAAAUAUACUUGAUGCAAACUGAGUAAGAAGACUAAGAAAAUCUAGAAGUGGUACACAAAUGCUCUACCCAAGUAAAUCUUUUUUUUACUUAGAUUGAGUAUAUAGCUGAGCCUAUGUCAAAACAUUAUUUGUACUGCUGCAUUACAUCCUACAUAACAUUAGAAAUCAUAACUAAUAGAGAUGUUUUAAAACACUUUUUUCGGAUUCCUGGAUUAGAUACUAAAUAUUCAGAGAGUGGGUCAGAAAACCUUCAUCUUCUGUAACAUUAUCAGUCCAGGAGCAGCCUGUCAUACUCCAUAUAGACAGCCGUCUGAUGCUCUGUUUUUGUGCAGAAAAAUUUCUUUUAAACUCAGUGGAGAUAAGAUUGGUAAGAGGCCAGAAGAGGUAUGGGUGUAGUUUAGUCUUACUGAUACCAGUAUAUCUCCCUACACAUGAACACUACAGUGCUAAAGUCCAGCGUCACUUUGCUCUAUCUUCUGUCACACACACAGCAGAGUUUUUAAGUCUCAUAAAAAAGUGCUUUGCACUGUGAAUUUCCUUUCUAUAUCAUACUUUCCAACAGGACUAGUGGGUCUAAAAUGGACACAUAAAAAGAUUAAAAGGACUCUGUAUAUUUAACCAAAUUACAUUAAAGCUUAAAUGGAUUUGCAAUGAAACCCUCUGCUUCAAACCCCUGUCUGUGAAAUCCAUCAUGGUUUUCACUAGCUUUCCCUGGCGAUUAGCAUUGGCUGGAGCGUCGGCGAGCCCUGCAAAUCAAAACCAUACUCAUUCUGGCCCGACACGCUGGUGUGCUCGCAGAAAGUGUCUCAGCGGCUAACCCUGUGAUUUAUAAACGUUUACCUCACCACAGUGGCCAAAUCAAAGGUUCGGGAAAAGAGAACAAAUUAACAGAAAGGUAUUUAGCUUUUCUAAGAGACUUUAUUUUCAAAGCCACAGUAUUCAUAAAGCCACAGUGCAUCAUUAUGUUUUUAUAGCUGUAUAAACUAUAAAGUUACCUUGUAAUUUCAUGGUUAGGGACGUAGUAAUUUGGAGACCCCAGUUUUUGUUUGGCUUUGUUUGUUUGUAUUUUUGUGUGAGAAGUUAUGUAUGUUUUCAAAAGCUCAUUUUCAUAGGAUGUGGGUUUUUCCAGACAUUACAUUUGUGCCUAGAAAGCACAUGAAUGUGCAGAGACAGGUGUGCGACGGAUGUUGACUCUUAAGCCUCAGAUUUCAGCUUUGUAAUAUUUUUAACCAGCACUGUAUUUAGAUUGUGCCAAAGCAAUAGUGUUCACUCUGUACAAGCCCAAUAAAUGAUAGUCCCACUUUUUAGCACCUCAGAAUGUGCACUAUUUUCUCCCGCAUGAUAAACGGCAAGGUUUACAGGGACCCCUCCCAUCAAGCUCAAAGCAGUAAGCUCAAAUGCAGUUUGAAUAUCUCAUUGCUUUGUUGAAGAUUUUAAGCUGAUUAUCAAACUUUUAGAUUUAAAUGUCACAAUCAACCGUGGAAACUUGGGGUGUCCCGAUACAACUUUUUGACUUCCGAUACGAAACUGAUAUUGUAGCCUUCAGCAUCGCCCGAUACCGAUAUUGAUCAGAUAUUGGCACAAACUUGUGCAUGACAAGUUUUACACUCAGUUGCAAUGUCUUAUUCAGACUUUAACAAAAAAUACUGCCACACAGCCAACAUCACUCUUACUCCUUGCUACUUGUUUGUACCUUAGUACAUACUGUUGUUGUGAUCACGUGGGCUCUGCAUGCUGGAUCUGGGCACUGCUAGCUAGAGGUGCUGAAGUGGAGUCUGGAAUGGCCUGCUUGUAUUGGAGUGCUGAUCUCAAAGAUUUUAGAUGCAGGCCGAUAUAAUCCGAUAUUUGUUUAUUGGCUGAUAUUGGACCAAUAUCCGAUAUCAAUAUCGCAUUGGGACAGCCCUAGUGAAAACUCAGGUGAACAGUUGAUGAUACGAUAUGAUAUGAUAGGGAAGACAUAAACAGAAACAAAUAUUUAACAGCCUAGGAGCUUUUAUCCUUCAAAGGCCGAUAGAUGAGGGCAAUCCAUCCGAGUACUAUGCACUUAAGUCACUGUCCUGCCUGUUUUGGGUGAAAGUAGUCUAUCUGUAUGGACUGCCAGCAAAUGCAAGCUCUAGGUCUUGAGGACUAUAAUAGUACUCACUUUUUUAUAAUGAGAGAUAUAAGUGGGGAAUUGCUGUGAUUUUCUCACCAUGGCUUUGGUGGCAGAGACAACUUGUAGUUCCUGCUCCCUAAGCGUUCCGAACAGCGCUUGAGGCUAUGUUAUUUUUCACCACAUUACCACGCUGUAUAAUACCGGAUCUUCUAAUGAGGAAAGACGAUUUAAAAGUGACGACCUGACUUAUAAACCGAGUAAAGUAAACAGAUGAAUGAUAUUAUAUCGGUCUAGGAUGGGGUUGUUCUUCCUCUGGUAGAGGCAGAGAAGAAAAAAGUUUUGUUAAUGGAAGCUUAUCAAAAGAGUCGUGAUUUAUGUGUUUACCCAAGGGGGGUCAGGGGAAGAGGGGGGUAGCAUUUUGCCACUGUUAAUGUGAGGGACAAACAACAGGGCUCCCACCCUUACAACAGUUGACCUACAUUGAUUACCUUUCUUGUAUUUCUUGGCUUGUGCAAGUGUGACAUUUUCUCAGCAGCCCACCGUUUUUAUCAAAGGUCCUCUCUUUUGUGUAAUUCCACCCUGAGAUUAGAAAUCAUAGGAAGUCAUUUUCUCCAAACCCCUUUUGUAAAUCUAAAAGAUUCUUUUUUUGUUCGACUCCGUAGACUUGCACAGCUUUUACCCUCAAGGCUUCAAGCUGAAGCUGUUAUCGAAACCAUCACAAAAUGAGCUCAACAACAGGAAACGCUUUUGUUUGUUCUUUGCCAAAAUGACAGCCAAAAAUUCAAAAAGUAAAGCUUUUGCCAAGGGGAAUUUUCUCUCUACAGUAUUCCCAUGACCUCUGAGGAAAGAGUUUUAAAGAAACUUCGGAGUGAAAAGGAGAGAAAAGAUCAGAUUGUUUCCAGAUGACAUAAAGUAACAGGUGACUUUUUAUGGAAGAGAGGAAGGAAUAGCUUUUCUAAUCACAGUUUUUCCACCAUCAGAGCCAAGAGAAAACAGAUGCGUACGUUUGUUUAAAAUGUAGUAGGAAAUUUCUAGAAUUUUUCAGGAGCAUCUGCCUCAUAAUUUCCUAAAGUUGCUCCCUCACAGUGUAAAGAGGAUGCUGAGUUACCCUUUGUGUUUUUUCCAAGAUAACAGGUGAAGCAAAGUCUGACUUAAGGAUGGUUUUCAUGACCACUUUUUGCUUUAAUUCCUGUGGGAUCACUGCACCACAUCUCACUUAAUUUUUUAAUUAGCAAAGGUGGGGCUGUAAAUGGUCUUAGAAUACAUCAUCUGCACCUCUGUCUGAUAUUUGAAUGUGUUUUUGGGAGUGGGGUGUGUUAAACAGCAGCAGAAAAGAGCUGAUCCAUACAGUCACUUUCUGAUGGGUAUUUUUCCAAGCACUGGUGUGUGUCUUUACAAUAUCAAAAGUAGGGUGUGCACAAAGUAGAUUAGUUGACCGGCUAGCAGUUUAUCCUCAGUUUUUCUGUCAGCUAUUUUUCAGUAUUUUACUCUUUAUGAAACACAGAACAGCCUUAGAAAAACAGGAAAUGUGGGGAAAAGUGAGUAGGGGGUGGCACACUGUAGAGAGCCGGGAGUCUAUUACAGUGUCUGUAUUUGUGGAUCACGCCUUAACUGCUGGGCUAAACUGGCGCCCCAUCAUUAUCGUCAAUUUUGGAUGCGGGGUAUUUUUCAAGUCAUUAUUCUGAGAAAAUUGUCAAAAAAGAUACUUUGGGACCAGCUUCUUAAAUGUUAACUUUGCUGCUUUCCCCCCUCUGGCACUAAAAUAAAUAAUCCUGUGUGUUUUUUUUUUUUUUUUAAAUCUACUCUGAUGAUGGACAUUAAUGUUACCUUCAUAGACCAAAGGAUGUCUUUCAAAAAGGCUGCUUUUGGGGUGACUGAUAAUAAGGACAUUCGCCGGUUUUAGCCCAGUGAGGGUAAUUGGAUGACAGUUUUUAUAUCCAUGUCAUUAAAGCUUUUCAGGCAAUUCAUUUGCUUAAUUCAGUGUCACAAAUCUGUGGGUAAAUAUCCACACCAUUAUAUAAAGCAAGUGGUCCUUGAUGUUGCCUAUUUUGUCCUACCAGCAGUCCAAAAUGAAAGAGAUAAAUAAGACAUUAAAUAAAUAAAACAAAAUACAGCUUAUAUAUCACAUGGCAAAGUUAAAAAGGUAAAAAAUAUUUUGUUUGCAGAGCUAGAACCAGUGAAAUUUUACAGUUUUGCCAGAAAAUCUGUCAAUGCAACGACUAAACCAUGAGAAUAAAUCUACUCCUAAUGUCGUCUGUAAAUAACAGGUUCAGUUAUAAAAACUUAUAUCUUUAAUUACACAGAAAGAAGGGCUGUAAAUGAAAAUGACUCAAAUCAUGAUUGUGAUCUUAUCAUAUGUCAAUACUCAGUUAAUCAAUUCAAUGUAAAAACUACGAGAUGUCAUUAAGUAGAAGCUUUAAAUUGGUUCAGUUCAACAGGGUAAAAGCAUCAUAGGUAAAACAGAGAUAUAAAACAUGUUAAUUUAAGUAAAACAAAGCAGACAUUUACUCAGUAGUUGUUUUUUGAAUGUAUUGAAGAGUAGAAGGGCACAAGCUGACAUGCAUCGGUCUAAUACAAUUGUUUCCUGAACUACAAGUGUUGCUGGAGCUCUUUUGACCUUUUCUCUCCAUGCACCUUGGAAGUUGGUGAAGUUGUGCCAGACCUCCUGACCUCUGUUUUUUAAAUGUAGAAAUGAUUAUUGAUUUUGCCAUAAGUCGUGGGCUCAAAGAAUCUCAAUUGUAUCCAGGCAGUACCUGAUCAUUGCCAGCAGAGGGUACUAGUUCACUAACCAAGUUGGUUGUGACUGCCUCGCUUUGGAUCUAAAUAACUCUCUUCACCACCAGAUGAGAGGCAGUCAUAGAGCACCGGGAUUUAAACCCACAUAUAAAUUACCGUCUGAUUUAAUAUUCUAACCAUAUCCGCUGGGGAGAAAAGGGCAAACUAUGUUUUAAACAAAUACAGGAAACUGAAAAAAGGGGAAAAUGUGUUUUAAAAACGUGUAUAAGAACAGCACACAGAGAAAGAAAGUGAACAUUUGGAUUUAAGAGAGGUUUUCUUGGCAUGUGCAUGAGCCUGUAUCGGUUUCCUGGCUGUGCUGUCAUUAGCUGAUAGUGCUAAAGCAGCUGUGAGGAAGCAGAGGUGAGCCAAGGAGCUCGUAAAUCUUCCUCAGCUCUCAGUAGUGUUGGCUCACUGACCAAGUGACAGCACUUCAAAGAGAACCCCUGUCUUCAGAUGAACUUGUUGCCUUCACUGAUACAGGUUUGGCUUGGCCAGCUGUUUCAACUGUGAAUGUGUGAGUCGGUGGGUGUGUUUGUGUUUGUGUGUGUUUGUGUGGGGGGUUUAGUCUUGAGAGGGGGCCCACCAACCAGGAGCUUUGACUGACACCUUUUGGAUGAGGCACCGGUGUGUGUUUCCUUUGAAAAUGUUGGUUUUGAGGGUCCUUGUUUUGCAUGUAAACAUAAAUUUACUGCUCAUGGUCAUUUUCAGAUGCCUAAAACUGCAGUAUGAUUUAGAUAUCUAAGAAAAGUGAACAUCUUCCAACAGAAAUCAAUGCGCACUGAGGGAAAGUGGCAGUUAUUCACAGUUUUUUAUUCCUCAAUAUUCAAUAUUUAUUUAAUGAAUUGAUAUUAUAGUUGUUUUAGCAAUGAUCAUGUUUGCAGGUUGUAGUCUUCAUUAGCUACAUUCAGCUGUAUUUAUCUUCAUCAGACUUUUCUUAAGUCAUCUUAACAGAUGGCAUAUUUGGCAAGUAGUUGCCAGUAAUGUAGAGUACAUGUGAUGUUUGGGCAAAAAACUGUAUCAUGUAGCUUCAAAGACAUGAACCAAUUUGGAAAUCUUUUAAAGACAAGUUAAAGUACUAAAUUUAUCAUUGAAGAGUAAAAUCAUAAAAUAUAUAAUAAUACAUGGGGAUGGAAAAUCAUUUUAUGCCAUUUUGUCUCAAAGUGAGUCACACCCAUUGGGAAAGCACAGAAUCAUUUCCAAAAAAAGGCUGCCGCACGAGGUCUGCAGCCUGUGAUGUGAAAGACUGGACUUGACGGCUGAGAAAACUUAGUUUCGGUUGGAAUAGGUGCAGAAGUUUUAUAAGAAAAUUGAAGUUGAUCUAUCUUAUUCAAGACUGUACACUUUAUAGAACAAUCUUUUCUGACUCAAAGUUUGACAAAAAUGAGCUCCUGUCAAAAGACUGAAGGAUUUUAUCCUUUGAAUAAAACUGACCCUUUUAGCUCUGCAGUUUCAGAAAAAAGAUCUGUGCGCUGAUUUUUCCGAGAAGCAAAAGUACCUGUAUGCAAUCACAAGAUCGAGGUCAAAACAUGCACCAGAAGAAGCUGAGUUUUGCUUUUGUUUUGUCUCUGAUUUUACCAAGUGUACUAUUUGACUUCCACUUGUUGUGAAAGUGGUCCAGACUGAUCAUGUGUUUGGGGGCCUAAAGGGUUUCAGAGCAUUCCAGAAACAGCAGCGUCCUUCCAAUAUCUUCUUGGCAUUACUCUUCCUUUAUGAGAUCUAUCUGUGUGCUAACUUUGAUCUCUCUACUUUCCCAUCAGUCUCUCUCCCUCCCUCCCACUCUCAUCUCACCCCUUUUCUUCCUUCUCCUUCUUUUCUCUCUUCCUAUGUCUCGUGUUGGUUGUCUUUCCGUGUCAGAGACUAAGCAAACAGAGUCGUGUGUGAGUGGCCUCAUAACUCCUCGUUCCUGAGAGUGGGAGCUCUCAGACCGGAGCAGCUGUGUCUUCAUUUGUCGGCCAUGUUCGGCAUUCUCCAGAUAUCUCCAGGGGGCUCCUGGGCUUUUUCUGUGUUCUGGUCUGACCUCAUGCCCCUGUGUGAGACUGUGUGGAAAGCAGGCAAAGUGGGACACAACUUCAUGUAGACUUAAAAAAAAAAACCCUGAGACACAUAAAAUAGUAUUACCCAGCCACUUAGGUUUGGUUUGGCUGUAUGGUUUUUAAAUAUCAAUCACAGCGUAGAUCGCAACAAAAGUUUUCUAAAUCAGCCUCAGACCCUUUUUGGGCCAACGUCACAGUGGCGUCACUCUUUUAGGACAAGAAAAUUCAACAAUGUGCAUUCUGACUUUCAUUGGGACUCUGGAGCUCACAUUAUGUCUUCCAUCUGUUACCAUUAAAACCAAUAAUCAUCCGUAUUAUUUUAUUAUAUCGUUGCACUUUUUGAUUCUGCAUAGCUACAAAUCAGUGCCUCACAAUCAUCAUGUAAUGUUGCAGCCGGGGAAGCACUAAAGCAAGAAAGAGGCCGAAAAGAAAACAAGUAUCAUAAGACAAGAAGAAACAGAGUAACAUAAAAGGAAGAAAAGCAAGGUGAUAGAGCAGAGAGCAAAUGGUGUGUGAGUGUGAAAAAGAGUGUGUGAAGAAACAGAGAUGAAGAGAAAGUGAGGAGAUCUGUGCAGGCUCCUCUCUCAUGCUAGCUAACGCAGAUAACAGCAGGAGGUGAGCAUGUGUUUUCUUCAGCUCAGUCAGAGGAGGUUUGCACUCACUCUUCUUCCCCCCUCCUCUUUUUCCUCCCCUUCUUGCAGUUCCCCUUGACCCCUCUACUCCUCCACCUUGCAGGCGUGAAUCAUCUGACAUGCACACAUCUUUGUCCACACUCUUCCUCCCCCCACUCAUCCUCUCUAUCUCUCCAUAUCUUCUCCUUUCAUUCAGGAUCCUUCUUUCUGUCCUCUCCACUCUCUCUCAUCUGUUUCUCGGUGCAUCUGGCGAACAUGAGCUGUGGAAAGACAACAGACAAGUAAUGGGAGAAGUGUGUGGGUGAGUGUGAGUGUGUGCGUAUGUCAUGUGGGGGAGGCUGUACACAUGUGCAUGUGUGUGCAGAAGCACAGAUGACAAAGGCAACCCUGGGUCUUUGUCAACUAAAUCUCAUCUGAAGUGUUUUCAUAUGAGCUUCGGGUUCUGUACUGACACUGAACCAACACCCACAAAACCACUGACCCUUGAGAUGCUAAGCUGUUCAAUGAGGACUGCUGAAAUCUGUCAAUAUGCACCAAUAUAUCAUAAUAACAUAAAACAUACUCUGUGUUUUAAUGGCAUAAUCAUACAGCAGUAAAUGGUUGGUUUAAAGGGGACUGAAUCAACUUGCCUGUAAAAGUGCUUAAUCUCCUCUUAAAGACUCUUAAAUAUUUUAUGUGGAAUCUGGUUGUUAGUAUGGGAAGUCUUCUGGUUUUCACUUGUAGUAUGCUUGUGGUCCAGUCAGCACUGGUAUAUGCAAAACAGUCCCACUGGAGAGGGAAAGCAAGCAGAACACAAUCUAUAACAGGGUCAGCUGGGUCCCCAUACUUGAGAAUCUCAGAUUGUUAGCUGCAAGUGCAGAGCAAACAGUCUGUUUGAGUUUUUUUUUAUUCCUAUACAGUUGAAGCAAAGAAAUUUGCUUUACCCUUUCUUGAAUUAGCCAGUCAGCUGCUAGGUUUGCCAGCUACCUGCAACACAUCAACAAUUCUGUCUGACUUUCCUUCACCAAAGACACUUUUUAAAAUGUGUCCUUCUUUUUUGCAGAUGUACUUUUCAACUACAACCUUUGUUAGCAUGUCACCAGAGGCCCCAAGCCUCAAUGGGGCCCUAAGCAAAAUUGGAUUUUAGGGCCCUCUAUUUCUGCCAAUAAUAUUGAUUCAUGAUCAUUCACACACCUACACAAAUCUCUUUGAUUAACAUUCCAUGACAUGCAAACAUACCUUUAUCUUAGUGUUUUUUCUCUUCUUCCUUGAUCUUUUCUCUGCUCCUGAAGGAUAUGUCCUUUUUUGCAACAUUGUUUUGCCCCACAACUACCUGUACUUUAGAUGCUGAGUGCACAUUGCACAGCAGGAGGUUCAUAACGGUAGCAGAGCUUUGACAUAUCAACAGUAAGAAUCAUAGGCCUACAUCAGCAGCAGCACUAAAAUGUUUUUAUUUUAUUUUAUUUUUACAAUAAUAUAUAUUUGAUCAUACAGAAAGCAUCACUCAUACAUGCAAAAAAUAAAAAUUAUUUGGAAAAAAUAUAUAUUUUUGAUUGCUUUUGGCGGCCCCCUAAUGACUGCAAGGCCCUAGAAACUAUAAUCAUUAAAAAGGCCAUAUUACAAUGAUUGUAACCAUCAGUUGCCCGAAGAGGCAUUAAUAGGAAUCUUUGAAUUGAAGAUGGGCCGUAAUAUCUUAAUACUCAAAGAGAUAAAAUCACUUAUUGAAGCUAAAAAAUGAACAUGACAAAUACUUGAGAGAUCAGUCAGGCCAAAAUAACCAUGCAUAAUAGACGUCAAUCUCCACAUAGUAAUGGCUUUUAUCAUUAAGUUGCUGCAAGUGCAGUUUGAUAUCAGCAUUAAAUAUCAGCCAUUAGUUGACCUGCUGUACAUUUAAUGUCAGCAUCAGUAUCAGUUGUAGAAAACCCAUUUGGGCGACCACUAGUUACAUUAAUUUGUGAAUAAGUACCAUGGUGGACCACAUAAACGAUGACCCUAAUUACAAGACCCUCCCUUUGAGACUAGUUCUUGAAAAAUACACCUUCAGAACCUAAUCUGUUUGGUCAAAGAAAACAAACUCACUUUGCAGUAAUGAUAAAACAAACACAUAGAUUCUUAUAUCUUUGUCACAUUUCAUGUCAUGUGUGUAAAUGAGCAUUUAUGGUAUCUGUAUUUUAUUACUUUAGUAUUAGCUUAUAUUUGGGCUUACCAUUGUAUUUCACCAAGCCCAGAACACAGACUCUAGCUGUUUAAUAGCUCUGCUGCAAUCAUAAACAUCUUUCAAAGGUCAUCCUGACUCCAACUCAGUUUUUGGUAAACUUGUCUUACUCUGUGCUGUUUUGUUCCCCAUACCUCUCCAACUUCAAACACUAAACCCUGACUAUAACACAGUCACACUUUUUGACAAUAUCAUUUGCAGAACUCUCCGCCUCUCUCUCCAUCUUGUAUUCAUAUCAGUAUGGUAAUUAAAGUGUAUUAAAUACUGACUAAGAGCUUGAGUAAAUGCCAUCCAACACUGAGAUACAACUUCCAAAAUGCAUCCACAGUAUGCAUGAAUAUUUUUUGGUAGAUUAAUCUAGCAACUGGAUAAAUAUAAAAAGCUUUUAGGAAGUCAAAUGAACUGAAACUGCACUGAAAUGCUGUGUUUCUUUGACCUAUCAUCUUUGUAGACAUACAGCAGUAGAUAAUUGUGAUAAUUGACAAUGACGUAUACAGUAAACAGUUGUUUCUCUGUGCCUCUUAGACCUCUGACACAAAGACUUUUGAGCUGGGGCAUAUGAAGUGCUAUUUUGUGUAAGACUCUAUUCAGUGUCUGUACUUGGAGCAUUAACAUUUCACAGUUAUGUGCUGCUAAUGAAUGUUUGGUUUGUGGUUGAGGCCGAGCAGAUGCCAAGGUCUUGGAUGUUCUUGGAUGGUCUGCUCAUGACCAACAGAUACACAGUUUAGCUGUACUGUGAGUAACACGAUAACCCGAUAGUCUAAUUUGCUAAAAAGUAACAUCUGUCAAGCAAAAAAACAUCAUCUAAAGUGUAAACAGACCAAAGUUGUACUGGUUUCUCUUGGAGGCAGUUUGGUGGUUAAUCCUCUCAGCACACCUACAAAACUGCACAAGCCACCGACCACAUCUCUCCCAUCUCUGGCCUCAGUUUGCCUGAGGUUUCCCCUUCAAGUACCUUUGCUAGCACCUUGCAAGCCACAAAACACUAACUGACUUGGGGAAGUGACAAAUUGAGGGGUUUUGGCAGUCUGCAGGCGGUAAAACAGGCCUGUUUACAUGGGAGGAUCCCACAGAACCACAGACAUGUCUCCAACAGCCAAUAAGACAGAGGGAAGGAGGGAAUGAAGGGAGAAAGUAAAGAAGGAGAGGAAAUUGCAAUGGACAGUAUUUCUGCCAAGAGGAAUUCCAGGCAGGUUGAAUCAAGGACAUACCUUUGAGCUGCCAAAAAAUAUACUGUUAUUUAAAUCCCAUACUUUCAUUUAUAUUCUCAUUUUUAGCCAUGCCAGCUACCAAGCUAUCAUCUGUCUGUUGGAGAACUUGAGUAAGUGGUAAAUUAUUGGACAGGUGGCCAUAAAAAUGAGUUUGGACAUUCAUGUCGCCCAGAGGAUGAAUCAUGUUGACUUGAAUCACCCUCUAAUGUCACCAUAAGCUUAAUUUUUAAGGUUUUAAAUCCUCCACACUUUAUUUUCUACCUCUGGAAACACAAUUAUAACUUCAAUGAUGCCAAAAUUUCUCAAAUGGUGCCGUCAUCCCAACACAAUGUUUUUUUUUUUUCCAUUUCUUUGGUUUACGACAAAGUGCUUGCAAAACCAAUAGCACUCCCAUCAGCCUCAGCAGCAGUUUGAUGUUAAUGCUGAUUGGCAAACAUAAACUUGCCUGUGCCAAAAAUCUGAGGCUUGGAAAUUGAUAUACUUUGCAUGUCAGCAGGCUGAUGUUAGCUUUUGGCUGGACGUGCCAAUGUCUCAAGUGUUCAGGGCAGCCAACAUGCCUCGAGAACAAUAGAUCUAAAUUGGUUGAGUAGUUUUAUCUGUCUUGUUCAGAAAUCAAAGCAAUUCCUCAUCAUCCAUCAAACUUGUGCUUUUUUAUGGUUUUUACACCAAAUCUUUUCAAACCAAUAAAUAACUGAAGGCAUUGUCUCCAGUCACAGUAGAGCGGGGCUCGGAUUUCCUGGCAAAGACAAAACUUUAAGACGCUCUGACAGAAACGUCUGGGAGUGGAGAAACCCUACCCAGCACAUGUCAUUGUAAUUCAGGAAUAUUAUAUGAUUUAGAGGGUGGGGAGCACAGGGGCUAUGGAAACACAGAGCUCAGUGGCAGGGCGCACAAAGGAUGUCUGUUCAUUCACAAUGGAAACCUUGUUGGCAUUUUCUUAGUGCCUCAGAGAAAACCAAAGAAUAAACAACAGUUUGCUGUCCCAAUGUCUCUGACGUGAUAGUAUCUCUGACAGCCUUUUCCAAAUGGAAAUAGGCUGGAUUUAAAAGCAUCCGAGGGAAAUCUCUGUUGAUGCUGUGCUGGAUUUAUUCAUUCAACUUUUCUGUGGCUGUUCUGUGAAUUUGAGAACACAAAUAGAAGUGUGGCCCAAGUUUGAAGUAAAGUUGUACAAGACAGCAAAGUGUUUGAAGUUAAAAUCUAUCGAAAUGGCAUCAAGAUGUCAUUUUUACAAUGCUAUUCUUUCUGUCUUUAUAUCUCUGCCCCUCUUUCUCAGUUACAGGAAUCCCUUUGUCCUGCAGUAAGGUGUUGAGGUCAGUGAGGAAGACAAUAAACCCCCUGGUGUUACCUUAAGCGUGUCAAAGUUAAAGGGAUACACUAUCCAUUCAUGCCUGUGAAAUAAGUAAAUGUUUCUGAAGGUUCAUGCGACACAUUUAACAGAGCUCACCUCAGUUAAAGUUGAUCAGUGUUUUUAUAACAGGGGUCCACCAAUAUUGGUUUUCAGGGCUGGCCAAUUAUCAGAGACCAAUACUUGAAACCGAUAUGUGUUGACAAAAAAAUUACAAACUUUUGUCAAAAUUAAGAAUUAAGAGUCUGACCAACUUUGACACAAAACUUAAAAAUGAAGGGCCUCUACAGAUAUUAAGCAAAAUGUCAAAUAUCGGCCAAGGCUAAUGAUCGCUCUACCCCGAAUGUAUAGUACACAACUUUUAAUGAGUAAAACCAACAGAGCAUUACCACCCACUGUCACAAUCCUCCAGAACUUAACAGAGCAAGCCAUAAGACCUCAAGCAAAUACUUAAAUUAAAAAGCUGAUUGUAUCUCUGUCUUGUGUUUACAGCCUGAAGCUUUGCUCUUAAAUGGACAAACUAUGAACUCAAGGAGGUUUAUUCACAAAACAACAUCGGAAGAUAUCAUUUGUUCACUUGUGGGCUGUUUGGGGGCAUUAUAGACCCUUUGCUCAUAGUCAGUGUCAAUUGUCGUUGAUUAAACAAACACAAUUACUGAUGUACAAAGUUUUUUGCCAAGAGAUUAUAUGGAAAGCUGUAAUUGGCAAAGUAACAGUGACGUCUUCCAGAUGUUGUUUUGGAAAGUUCUGGUGAAUCCCUUGUAUAGGUUGCAGUCAUAAACAUUAAUUAUCUGACAUUUAUCCCUCUGCCAGAGGCAAGAUAAGAGUUUAAUUUGAGCAAAGCUCCGUAGGAAAUGAGUGAGAUGAGUUGGAAAUUUUGAAAAGCUGCACAUGAAAUUCUCUGGGCUGAUUGUUUUAGAGGAUCAGGUCUGUUCUGGGAAUCGAGACUGAUGCUGUUAAGUCGAGUACCAGGCCAUCUCAGCGCUUGGGAAGAGUUCCUAAGUUAACACUUAAACAUUUUAAACAGCUGGGCAAGCCAAACCCGUGUUAGUGGAGGCAACAAGUUCACUUAAAGAUAGGGGUCUCCCUUUGAAGAAGUGUCACUCAGCAAACAACAAGUGAACAUUGGAGAAUUUAUGACCUCUGCAGCUCACCUCUGCUUCCCCACAGCUGCCCUUACACACCGCUGGUGACAGCCCAGCAGGAAAGCCAGGAAGAGCUGAAACACAUAAACCAAAGCUCUUUAAAAGAGGCAUGAAGCAUCAUGACCAUAUCAUGAAGAGACAGCUGUCUUAUUUCCAGCAGCAGUUUUUAUUGACAGUUUACUCUAAGAAAGGUGUUUAAAUAUUAAUAUUAUAUUAUUAUAUUAUAUGAAGUAUUUUUUUAAUCAAAGGAGAACAUCACAGCUUUAAUUAAAAAAUAAGAGGUAAGGGUUAUAAGGGUUGUAUUUGUGACAAAUCUGAUUGGACCACAAAAUGUUUGAAAAUUAGCCAUGAUUUUAUUGUUUAUUGUUAUGUUUAUAUAGAACUGGUAGCUAUAGUUGCACAUAUCUUUGUGAGCUCAUAAUGGGGUCACUGCAGUUUCCUAUUUCCUGGAAACAUUCACUAGACCCCUAGAUUAUAUUACUAAAAUAUCCUCUUAAGUAUAUAGUAUGAGCUAUUUUGUUAUGCCCUGAGAAUUCUUAUGUAUAGCAAAGUUUCCAAAGCAAUAUUUGACAUGGAGGAUAAAUUCAGGAGAGGACCGUUAAACACAUUAAAGCUUCUGUGAGGAGUUUUUAUCCUGUUACGAAAUUGACUGAUAUUAAUGUUGUUGCCUCUUUUUGACUUGGAGUGAAAACCAGAUCACUAAUAAGAAGCGUGGCUUUUUUAUGUUGCUUUUUUCUGUGUGAAAAUUGUCUGAAAUUGUCUGUCACGGUCAGGGGUUACGUGACAAAGCGAUUGACUGCACAUUGCUGACAGCCUUUAUUUCCCUGUUUGGCAGAAAAGAUACUUGGUGACUGAUCCAUUGAGCUGUUAUUGGAGAACAAAUUAGGAUGUAGGAUAAGAAGUAACACUUUUUCCAUCAAAAAAGCACAAAUUAAAAAAAAGAUAAUCAUUGGAGCUUUAAACAGAAUUUUCUAAUUUUGUUAGUACAAAAUGUGUCUUUUCUUUGUCCUCCUAUUCUUGAAAAGACCCAAACAUAUAUGCAAACACAGUGGACUUAAAAUAUUGUGUCUCCCUCCUGAUUGCUGUUUUCUUCUCCCUAAAAAAAGAGUCGUUAAACUCAAGGGAACAGGCCUUCUUUCAAAAGACUGAAUGGGGUUUUAAUCAAUUUGCUGCCAUCUUGAUUAGCCCGCGAUCCACCGAUCUGCCCAGCAAUCAGCAGCAAUUAGCCUGGCCUGGAAUAAAAUCUCCUCUUUAACCCUCUUUGUACAUUUCGUCCAACUUAUCAGUCUGGUUUGUGCACCAAUAGUGGUACCUUGUUUGAGUUCCUGUGAUUACCUUUGGCGUCAUCUGAGCCGCUAUCUCCUGUCCUGUGUAAGGAGGCCAAAGUAUGCGGAGGCAUUGAGGGGGGACUAAUGGGCCAAAUCGUGAAAGGUCCAGAUGGCCGUGGAAGAAAUUGGUCAAAGCUGACAGUUUAUCCAGGCAUCCGACAAUUACAGUCCCCUACUGGAAUAAAAGGCAACAUUUGGAUAGCUCAUUUAGAUCUUAACAAUAGAAGGGAAAUGUCAAAACAGUCUCACACACAAAUAGAACCACAUGGCAGCAAUUUUACUCGGUCCAAAAAUGGCCGUUCAGAAUAGAGAGAAGAGAAUCAUUUCAACAAAAAGCUUUGAGUGUUUAUUAAAUUUACAAUAAUGAAUUAAAACAUCAGAUUCACUGUAAUGCGAAGUGUAGUUUUUAACUGUUGAAGUGUAUAAAUCUUGUUCCAUGUGGUUCAUCUAUGAUUUGGCCCAUCUCCUAUGACCCUGUGAUGAGAUUACAGGUGGUCUGCUGAACUUAAGGGUCACCAAAUACCAAAACACAAAAACUGUGAAAAUUUAGCACAGCUUAUUUAACACAGCUGAACAUGGGAUCACACUGACUGCACAUGGACUAUGUAAAACUGGUUUCAUUGUGAUUGAUGUUGGUAAGGAGAUAGCACCAGUAAACUGCUAGCCCUUGCAGGUCAAUAUCCACAUUAUAUUUACCGGUUUGACAAAAAAUAAAGAAAACUUAAUCUUCAUUUUCUAGAAAUGACAAAAAAAUACUUCCAAACUGUGCUACAUCAAGAGAUGCCAUUGACAUGUGUGCUUAUUUACAUCUACAUGUGUUCUUUCAAUGUAGUCAUGGUUUGAUUUAGUGUUUGUUUGAACUUGUAUGGAGAUCUAAUCCCGGUCUAUUCAAGUGCAUGUUUAGUUUUGGGGAAGGAAGUCUCCAAAGUUGAAGCUGAGAUUAGGAAACUUCUGCAGCAGUUUAGUGUGGUCAAACUCAAGCUUUUAAUGCUGCUCUCUCUUUUAUAGGGAAAAGUCAACAUCGUGUUGACUUACACUAAAAGUCUCUUACAGUAUUUUCAAUUGAUGACUUCAAAUACAUAUACAUAUAUAGCCUACUAAAGUGUGCGGUUAAAGGCUGUAGUGCCCCAAAUACAUAAAACUUUGAGAAAGCUUUCAUAUCCCUCAUUAGCUGGGUCCACUGGCAAGCGAUAAAAAAACUGCACAUUCAUUUUGAGUGUGUUCAAUUCAUAGAAAACAAAACAAAUAAAAAGAAAAUGAAAAGCAGAUGGUUUGGUGUAUAGUGCAGGAUCAGUUCCCAAACAUCUGCAGGAAAUAAGCCAAGGAGACAUGGAGAGAAAUAAUUAUUAAGCAUGAAAAUCAAAUAUAGACGUGACUACAGCCUGAUCAAAGCUUUGCUUUUCUUUGGCAACAUAUUGAUAUAAUAAUGUGUCCGAUGAUGUUGUGAGCAGGACAUCAAAAACACAUUUCUUCUUGAUAAUGCAGGAGUUGACUGCCAGAGUUCAGCACAUAAAGAGGGGAGUGGCUCGGUGCGUACAGAAGAAUAACUGGAGUCUUGAAUGACAAAUGAUCAGAUAUAACAAUUCUGGCAGGCAAAGCAGCAGGUGCAGUUUGGAGUUUAAAAACUCCAUUUAGUUACAAUUUUGUGAAUUAAAAUACGAGGUAGGACUUGAUAAAAGUUUUGAGUCCAAACUAUAGAGCUCUAUGAGUCACCAUAGAAUCAAUCAUAUGCUUUAUUCAAAGCAGCGGAAAGUAAAACCCUUCCUCAGAGCCAAAAUAAUCCUUGGAACCGAAUGUGAAGUAUCAAAGUAAUGAAAUUCACGGACAAUUUGACUCCAAGUACAUGCUGAUCCAUAGUAAAAAGUGAUUUUCAUGGAUGAACAAUACGACAACUGCUAGAAAUAAUCUCCUGCUAAAGUGAUCCCUCUAUCUGUGCCGUGAGCUCUUCAGAAUCCUGGUAAACGGGACCCGGAGCGAGAUGAAACCCAAAGAUAGAGCGACAGAUUUAUUGCACCCCAGAUGUGCCUGAUUUAUGAGCAUUGUUUAAUCUCCAGAUUCCAACCACAUGAAGGUCUUUUAUUUGGAGCUUUAAUUUAUAGAGCUCAGAGAAUGCAGGCUUAAUGUUUUCUGUCUUUGGAGAAGAUGAGCCAGCACUGUGACUCAGGGAGAUAAACAGAUGCUCGGUUUAACAUCCAUCUUACGCACAGACACUGAGAAAGGUUAUCUUUUAACAGGCGCUGCUACAGAAACCAAUCUCAACUGCUCUAAAUCUUUCAGAAAAGUAGAUUUAACAAAUUAGUUGUUUCAAAAAAUACAUUCAAAAGAUGCUUUAUCUUAAGAAGUCUGCUUGCUUAAAGUCUCCCUCAUGUGAAAACCUAUUUAAAGACGUUCAUUCCAAAGCCAAAGCUGGUAAUAGGCAGUACUGUCACACAACUAAUUAUACUUCAUAAUACGUCUCUUACUUUCUUAUUCCCACCCCUUGGCGUUACAGGCAAGUUCUCAUUACCAGAUCGACUGAGCGCAGAGCCCCAGGCGGCUGGUUUUUCCCAGCAAGCUUGGGUUCCUGUGUUGUGGUGGGAGGGUCGGCAGAGGCGACACGAGCAAAUGUUGCUGUUUAUUUCCAUUCUGUCAUGUGUGUGAAUCUGAUUACAGGUCGCUAAGUCAAUAUUUAGCUUCUGCGGACGGCAUCAUCAUCGACCGGUUUAUUUUUUCUGGGCCCCGCCACAUCUGCUGCCAAUGUCAUGCGCGGUAGCCGACGUGUGCCGCUACCAGGAAGGAAAGCAAACAAUGAGUGUGCAGUCCUGGUUGAGCGAGUCGGGCUGAAGAGUGGUGAGCAAGAGACCAUGAUCUGCAGCUAGGAGUCAGACUGGUGCAAGGACAGAAGUGCUGGCAGCAGUUUGAGGGUUGCUCUAAGGGGUUUUCAUCAUUUAACACUAAUUUCUCAUACCACCCUCUUUCAUAUUUGUAAGAAAAACAAACCACUAGACACUCAAAGUGAAAGUUUAUACACAGACCAUUAAAAGAGUGAGAUUUGUGCAGCUGUUUGCAGGCAUCAAGCUGUUUGUUUGAUACCUUUUGUAUUGUUUUGGCGGUAUAGAAACUACAGGGACAGUAAUUGUAUGUCCUGCGUUUUUCGUUUGAUGGCCGUGUCUGGGAAUCCUGCAUGGGGGCUGCAGCUUUAUUACGAGCCAAGAGGAACUUUAGGUCGAGGCUUCUUUUCAUCUGCCCCUCAGGCAAGAAGGAUUUGGUAUUUAUUAAAAAUAGAGAGGAGUAUAUUUCUUCCAGUCGUGACUUCAUUACCUCAGGUUAUUCCACAGAGGCGGACCACACACAGUCAGUAGAUCUGAAACACCUCCUCGGCUUGUUUGCAUGACCUACUAUUUGAAUUUGAGGGUUCACAGAAUCGUGGACUUUCUGUGCCAAAGAUGUGCGAGUAGAGACUUUACAAGACUUGGAAUGAUUUCUUCACUGCCUGUUUCUAGAGCUGAAUUUACAAUCUUUGAAAUUGUUUGGACUUGUUGUAUGUAAAACUAUUCCAGCGUUAACUGUAUGUUCUGCUUGUGCAUGCAUUGAAAAUUGUGAGAUUUUGCAGGUUUUACAGCUGAAUUGUAGGUUUUACUGCUUGUUUAAGACAUUAAAGACAAAAUGUCUCAAGCACAAUCUUGGACAGCUGCCAUGUGUAAGGGGCCUGUGCUGCUUUUUAGGUAGGCGACGUACAUACAUUAUACAUACUGUGCAAAAAAAAAUCCCCCAACUGCCAGCCCCCUCCACCCCUUAAAAUUCACUUUCGUCUCCAAAACAUCUGGUAUUCAUUGAGAGAAGGAGGUUUGGGGGGAAAUGAACUCCGACAAGAGUCUGUAGAUUUGGGUAUGGCCCCCUGCUUUAGGUUCCUUCUGAUGGUUAAGAUAGCCCUGCAGACAAAAAUGCACCAGUCUGUCUCACUGACUUUUACCUGUCCUACUCUAAAAACAACACUGGAUCCAUUAUUUAUGAAAAAAAAAAAAAAAAAAGCUUUCAUAGCAUUAAAAUGUCAACUUUUUUUUAGUGGAAAGAAAACUUUAUUUUGUUAGGACUAAACCAAACCAUUGCAUUAAAUCAGACAAACACAAAAUCCAACUUUAAAAGUCAGCAUAAAUACAAUCCUGAUGAUGCUGUUACAUUAAUUUGCUCCACAUUACAUUUUCUCUUUGCACCCACUGACCCCUCAAAAUGACUCAUAACUUUACGAGCAUUAUUCAAUUAAAAUUAACCUCAGAGACUUGAUGUAUUUGCAUUGUAAUGAAAAAACAAGUCAUCAAGUUAGUCAGAGUAACCGAAAAACAGGAAAGCUGGAAAACUGGCUCACACCCUCACAGAUGCUGCUGUUAAGUUUUGUUUCAGGGAAUUACAAAACACACUUAGCUGUUGAAAUAAUACUUAUCAUUCAGACAUCUGCCAAUACACAUUCAGGAUAAAAGCAGUUUACUGAUCAAGGGGGUUAAUGUGUUAUCCAAGAAUGUAUUUCAUCCAUCCUGAUGGCAUACAGUCAGUUCAACAUGUUUAUACAAUCUUUUGACUUAAAUUACCUUUAUAGUGUCACACUUUAAACCUUGGCCAUAAAGUAGAUUGGCGGUAAGGUAGACUGAGGUCGCACAAAACAGAUAUUUCAAGCUGGUAAAGAUAACCGGUAACAACCAGCUCCUUACAGCCAAGAUUAUAUAUGUUAACAUAAAUGUAGCUUAAAGGUGUACCAUGUACACUCCUGGAGUUUAGAUAGACCUAAGAUUUUGUGAGCAAAGAUGCACUGAUUUAAUAUUGAAACCUAUACAGAGAAAUUCUAACAUCACUUUUGCUGACACCGAAAACAAAGAACAGUUCUGACUAAGCUUUUUCUAUGUCUAAGUCUUCAUCCAAGUACCACACCAGUGAAUUUAGCAUACUCACAGGACAAACAUCCAUAUGCUCAUACUGUAUGUCCAUACAGCUAUUGGAAAACAUCACUGAAGCUGUCAAUCAACAGUGAAUCUGUGUAGAUAACAUCAUACAGGGCAGGCAAGGAUAGGUCAGGUGACUUCAGGGACGUUAUGCUGUCGUUAAAACCUGAGGAUAUUUUUCCCCCUCUUGGGAUUCUUGCAGGGCGUGUUUGGUAAAUUGCAAUCAUGUUAUCCUCUUUUGAAUAGUGCUGACACUAUCUUUGUUCUCCCAUUAGCUUGUUGUAGCUGUGCGUGUUCUUUUCUACGUGUUGACAGAUUGGAUACUGCCACUUAUUGAGUCAGCAUGUCAAGACUUGUUGAUAAUUAAAUGACAGCAGCUUUAUCUGUUGUUUUUAUCAGAUAAAUGGCAAUAAAAUUAUAUGAAUAACUGAAUAUUCCCAUUAUACAUCUGAGAUUCUUGCAAAGUUAUAUUACUUAAUCCAGAAAACUACAGCUCUAAACACAAGUCAAAUCAAUACCUCUAUCCAAGAUACAUCAUGUCAGUUGCUUUUCAGUUUUUUUAAACACUCCACCAUUUAGAUGAAAACUAAACUUACAUACUGUCUUAGUCAAAGCUUUAGGUUCCUAAUUACCCCCCAAGUUUUUCUAAAGGUUUACGUUCCACCUUCCCCGCCGUCUUACACAUACAGUCCCAGCAAUAUGGCUGAAGUCACUUCUCUCCACCGCUGGUCUACUUUUUUCCCUUUGUGUUUCUCUACCCUAAUAUAAGAGAGUCAUGAGCCUGGAAAUCCUUGUUAAAAGAAAAUAAGCAUGUAGCAGUGCCUGAAGCAAAUAGUUUCACAGUAAUACAUUGGUACAGUGUGCAUGUUGGUCUCCUUAUGAACAGAAUUACAUCUGUUUUUUGUUGGUCUGGGACAUUAAUUACAGCCCUCUAGAGAAGUGUGUGCAGUGUGUUGGUGUAAUUGAUAGUGAGAAAAACACUGCAUACAAUACACACUUUUCCUUUGAUGUGCUUUCUUUUUGUUCUCUGUGAUUUACGCUGCAGUUCUUUGGAUCUUCUCUGUGUUUGGUCACUGAUGAAGCUCUGUCAGUGCUCCUCUGUAGUCAAAGAUAAUCUAAAAUAAGACUGUGUAACCUUUGCUGAUCUGCCUGUCAUACUGUUACUAUAAUCUUAAGUUAUGGGUUAUUGGAGAGUCAAUGUCUCUGUUAACAAAGUUAUCUUGGGGCAGAUGUCUUGAACCUGAAAAUGAUUUAAUUAGAGGUAGCAGAAACAAGUGACAUCAUGUCAUUAGCAUAAUUCUCACUCUUUAAAAUCCAUUAGCAGUUGUCUUUUAGCUCUCCGAAACACUAAAAAAAGAACUAAAUAAGUGAAACAUUUGAACUCAUGCUGGUUCAUGUGUCCUAAAUUGAAUAAUUACUUAACUUUGAGCUCCAUGUGUGGGCUCUACCCACUCCUCAUGUCACUAAUUAACUGUUCCACUGAACAUCCCCAAAGGCCCAGAGACUUACCAUUGUCAUAAAUUGAUUUGUUGUAUUUGUAUUUUUUUCCAAGUGUUCUCUAUUUUCACAUUUCUAGUUCUGCAGUGUCUUUGUAUUUGCUGAACUUUAAUUCUACUAACGCUGCAUUUACGUAGGGUUUUUAAAAUCAUUUCCACGGUAUUACUGUCAUUGCACCUAUGGAAUUUUUGUAUGUGUUCAUGAAUGUGUGUCAUCUCUGGAUUUGAAGCAGGUUUCUUCUAAUCAGAGUGUUUAAGCCUUUGUGUUUAAGCAGAUUGGUUAGCCUUGUCUGUCAGUCACCAGGGGGAGCUCUAAGAGUUUCGGCUUCACUGCAGUGGAGCUGUUGUGCUGUCCAUGCUUUUAUACAGUUCAUAGACACUACACUGCACUGCUAUCAUUUUUCUAUCAAGCCAGCUCCAGCCAUCUUGCCUUGAGAGUUCCAAGGAACUUCAUAGAAAUAACUUUUCUUUGGCAGUCCAAAUACAAAACAACUGCUGCCUGCUUUUACAGACCCCCCCACCCCCUCCUGCUACAAAAAACAAAGAUAUUGAAGCGAUAGAAGUGAAAAGACCUUUACUUUGUUUUUGGAAAAACUUAAUAUGCUAGCUUUGAUUUUAAGUGUUGCCAGCUGCUCUUUUCUUUUUACUUUAGGCCUCUCUCAGCGGGUCUGCUGCAGUAACAAGGGUGCCGCGCUGUCCCGGGGUCCUAAAACUUUAUCAUACACAGAACACAGAAUCAGCAUGCCAGCAGAGGCCACUAAGCCUUUCCUCUAAUAACCUCAAAUAUGCAGCAAUUCAUAUGGAUGUGGUUCACUCCUAUUUCUGAUGGAAAACUAAACCCUGAUGCAGGAACCAAAACACUGAUUCCAUCAGCACUGGUCGAGGCAUCCUGCCAGAAACACUGCACUGAUAUGGGCCUCGUUCCUGGUCACCAGUCAGGCGCUCGUGUCCUGAAAGGGUCUUUCAGAGAGGGUUUGAGAAGUCGUUUUCACGUUUAAGUCAAAGUGUGCACUGCUGUCGCUUUGAGUUAAUGUGUUCGCUAAAAGAAGUGAGGGUUAUGUGAGAGGGAGGAACGCUUCGUCAGCAGCUCAACCGUCUUUUGCAGAGCACAGGUGAAACCCUCAGGGCCAAAAUUCAUGAUGCUAAACAUUAGGGCCUUGCCAAAAAUUCCUUCUCAUUUAAUCAUCUCUUCUAAACCUGCUGUCUUCUGCAUUAGAAGAUAGAAAGUGGAGAGAAUGUGGCACAAACUCGGGCCUUAAAAAACAACCAAAGAAACACCUCCAUGUUUUUUUUAUUUAUUUAUUACUCUAGCCGGGUUGUAACUUUUAAACACCUUCCUUUGUUUGCUUCUGUUUGUAAAAGCAGCUGUUGUAAGAAGUUUUGAAUCGCUUGAACUAUCGUCAGUGUUCAGUAGCUCUGAGGGCGGAACUCACCAGAUUAUCAUCUAAGCCCUCAAACAAAGCUGAUAGCUGUGUAAAUAAACUUGCCUUUUUUCACACUUGUUCCGUCUAUUUGCUCUACUUUCUGGCCAUGAUACUUCAAAUAAACAGCUCUGCAACUGCAGCCUCUCUGCUAAGGAUUUGUGAUUUAUCAGUCCGUAGACUUUUGGCCCCACUCAAAAAUAGUAAACAAGGAGCAAUUUGAGUCUGGUCGUCAGCCAAGGCAAAUGGUUGUAUUAUGAUAACAGGCCUAUUUCCUGUAGUUAAGAUUUUUGUUUAACAUUAGGCCCUAUUCUCAGCCUGCAACUGGCAAGCAGCGGCGGCCCAGUUUCGACACUCUUAACCUCUGCCUUAGACCAGCGACCAGAUGUGGUUCCCUUAAGCAAAUUAUUGGCGGUUCCUAGCACACACAGGUUCCCUACUAAGUGUUUCCAGCUCAGAUUUGGCAGGAACAGAGGAGACAUUCCAAUGGAGCAGCAUCAUAUUUUCCCUUCAGCAAAGCCAUAGCAACUAAUUAUUUAUUAAGAAAAAAAACUGUUUCCAAACCAAGCUAAUAUGUUAUCACUACUCAUUAUUUCUGGAUUGGAAUUUUAAAAUACUAUUUAUUUCACACUGUCACGGUGUGGGAAGAUAAAUAGAGAAAAGCCUCCGAAAGGAGAAGCAGAAAAGUGAGAUUACUCCAUGAUUAGUCAUGCUCAUAUUUGUUUUUGAGAAAAACUAUCAUACCAGACACAUUUGAUUUACAGGGAAACUCAACCAUUCCAUUCUGGUACACUUAAUUUAAACCUCACUGUAGACCGGCUCUGGACUUAACUACAAAACUUGGAAAUGUGAACGUUUAAAUGGCUGAGAUCACUUUUAAGAGACAACCUGAGCCAUUAAUUGAGUAUUAAAUGUCGUCGAGGUAUUCAUUCUGUGUUAUUCCAGCACAGUUUUACAGUCUUUCUCCCUCAAAAGCAGAGCAUGUGCUCUGACCCUCCCCUCAGACAGCUCUCACUUCUACAUGCAUCAUUACCUCCGCCAAGGAGGUUAUGUUUUCGGUAGCGUUUGUUUGUUUGUUUGUUUGUUUGUCUGUUAGCAACUUUACGGAGAAAGUUGCAGACGGAUUGACCUGAAAUUUUCACCUGAGGUGCGUCUCAGCCCCAGUAGGAUCCCAUUACAUUUUGGUGGUGAUCCGGAUCGCCUUCUGGAUCCAGGGAUUUUUUGAAGGAUUCUUUAGCAUUGUGAGAUAGGGCAAAUUUUUUAAUUUUUGCAUUUAACUCUAUAAAAAUGUCCAGAGUCAUUAGUAAAAAAUUACACGAAAGGAUCUCAAUGAGUUUUAUGAGGUGUCAAAGGUUGAUCCUGAUCCACACAAAAUUUUGGAUACUGUGAUCCAGAACACACAAAAAUAAGGGUGUCGUUGGAAUUUUCAAUGCUGAAAGAUAACCAAUGAAGAUACAAGGAAGUGUACGCUUACAAAUAUUGCAUAAUAAAUCAUGCAUUUAUGUAUCUAAUAUGAGCUUUGUUGUUCAGGAACAUUAUGAACAGUGAACAUACCAGUUUAAACACAAAUAAAAGUUAAUAAAAGACACGUAACAGUAAAAGUUUUGGUGUGAAUCACAAUAUAAAGGGGGACAUGAGCUGCUUGGCGGAGGUCUGCGCUCUCCGAGUGCUUUUCUAGUUAGGAUUUCGGAUUGGUGUUCAACGAAGUUGGGAGGAUGAGGAAGUUGUAGAUGAACUUAUGGACCUUCAACAUGAUGUACUACAUCGGUGCAAACUGUCAUACAGCCACAUGUGGAGAGAGGAGAGAGAAGCAAGAGGAGCAGGUGUAUGUGUAUGUGGCUGUGUGUGUCUAAAAUACCCAGGGACAGUGUGAGAAUGACUACAGAGGCAAUUCCAUGGGUGAAUGGGUGCAGAAAAAUGAACGUUUGCUAGACUAAACAGCAACACUGGUUUGAAUCACAGUAGCCAAAAAUGUUAUCUUAAUUCUUGAUGUUAUAAAGAUGCAGAUCCAGCGCGUCUUACCCCUUCCUGUUGACACUGUGACAAAAAGAUCAGUUUCUAUCAGCAUUCCAAUCUGUCACAGCCUGCCCACUGAAACAGUGACAUUAAUAUUAAGGCCUCCAGAUGACCUACAAGUGUGAACACAAGGAUUUAGGAAAGGAUUUAUCAUUUCUGAUUGGUUAUUAUUUAAUUCGUGUCACUUGUAUCAGAUGUAGUAAAUCAGCAGAUAAGUGUUUCCUUUUACAUUGUCAAAGUCAAUGACUCAGUAAGUGACACAGUUAAGUUUGAUAAAGCAGGUCGACACUUUUUGUCAGGAAAUUUAUAAGUAUGCUGGAAAUGACUCUAGCAAAGAGGGAAGUCAAUUUUGGGCCCCUGGGGUCUUCAAAAUUCAGACAAAAUAAAUGAAAUGAAAGUUGCUUGCAAAAUAACUGAACAAAGCCGACUCUGUUCUGAUGUUAUUCUCUCUUUGGUAAUGUCUGUCAGUGAUGAACGCAAAUGUUAUUUUUGAUAGGCAUUAUUUCAUAACCUGACUUGCCCCACUAAAAUAUUUUGGCUAAGUGGAAAGUUACUCUCUAAUUGACACGUACUCUUCAACAGCCUCUGAUGAUCUCUAACGUAUAAACCUUCAUCUAACUCUGUACACCCGCACCUUUUUAAAACCCAAGAGCUGGCAGGGAGGGCAGCCGACAGCUAAGGAAAUAUUUACAGAAAGGGAACACUCACACAUGGUGGUUGUGUCUCUCUCAUCUAAAUUGAUGUCGGUCUGGUCUCCAGAACGAACAUAAACAAUCGGUUGGGGCAGGAGGCCGCCUGCUGCGAACGCUAAACUCCUCUACAUGCAAACACACAUCUCCCUGCUUCAUGAGUAAGUGGUCAUGAAAAAGUCAUCACAGCAAGAGACAUCAACAUGCAGAGAGUUGGGGAGUUGUGUUUCAAAGUUUGGAUCUGGUUCAAAGUUUGGAUCUGUUUCAGUUUACUAAUGAGGAGCUCAAAUGUGUAACUGUGACGCAGAAGGUAGACUGGUCUACUUUGAGCCCUUUAGAUGUUUUUGGAUGACUGUGUCUCAAUCUCUUUGUAACAAAUAACACAAGGUUAAACUGUGGGUGUGCUUCAUUUCACCCAUGAUAACUAGGAUUGUCAACCCAUUUAUUAAUGUGCAGUACUACUCAGAGACCAUGUCACUCAAAACAUCCAAGCUCUUUAAAUUCCCAUUUUAUUGAAGUCUGUUUUCUUUUAACUCUGCUGUAUUUUGCAUUUUCAAGAGGACUUGAUGCCAAGAGUAAAAGUUAUUUUGCAAUAUUUAAAUUUUUUUCAACUAAAGUAUAUAUAUUUUUAAAACAGGUGAAUGAAACAGCCCUCAUCAUAUUUCAGUAAUAAAACUAAUCCACUCUCUCUCUCCUACCCUGACUAGAUGUGGGUCAAAACUCAAUAGAUCAUCAUCCUGAGUUAUGUGGUACACUUAUUGAUAUGCUGGAGCUAAAAAUUUAAAAUGUUACUUGAAAUAUAUGAACAUUUGACUCACACCACUUCAUGAGGUCUCGUUGUGGCAUGAAUGAGGUUUAACAAUGAAUGACAUUAAACUGGACAAAGAAGAAGCUGAUAACUGCAAAAUCGUAUAAAGGAAACAUAGGGCUGGGUAAUAAACUGAAAAUUUACCGAUACAGAAAUUUACGACAACCAAUGCCCAUGUCAAUAUAUUUAGUGUCAAAAAAAUAAAUGAAAAAUAGUUGGUUUUGGAUGUGUGUUAGUAGGCUAUAGUCUUAUGUCCCUUCAAGAAGCUGUCUUACAUCAGAGACGUGACUCCACCCCAUCCAGUCCGUCACAAAGAGGGAAAGACAGGUGAGGAGAUGGAGGACGGUUCAAAAGUCGUAGUGGCUGAAGUAGACAAAGUUAAUGUGGGAUAGGGUGAGCAGCUUGUGGAGUAGUUAUCGUCCAUUUAUUGUUAUCGAGGUGAACUGCUCAAUAUAUUGUGAUAUUGAUUUGAGCCCAUAUCGCCCAGCCCUAGGGAAACAGCAGGAUUAUGUUAGACAGCAACGCAGAUAACUCGAGGCUCCAACUAUUUUUCAAACUAAGACAUACGAGGGAUAGAAAAGGGUAUUACAGCUGAGACGUGGAGGAUGCACUCAAGUCUGCAGAGAGUUUCGCUCACCUGUGAUGGGAGGACUUCACUGUUUCGUUGACAACUAGUGGGGAAAUGCACUCUUCCACUCUUUACACCUGUGCUCAUGUGGCAAAAGUUUUGUCAAUGGCUUAAAAGUAAUCUCAGCUUACUGGAAAAGAUUCAGCUGUAAUAACUGACAUAGGAGUGAAUACAGCUGUUACAGCUGUUAUAGGCACAGUUAUAGAGGGUAACAUAAAAAAUUCAAAUAGGUGGGCUCUAAUAUGAGCUUGAAGAAGACUGACUGUGCAUCUAUCUUGCUGUCUACCCAGGUGUUAAUGUAAGGAGAAUGUAGAAUGUAAACAUGCACAUUAUUUUAGUGUUUACAAACCAUGUGAAGUACAUUUUCAGUGUAACUUUAAGACUUAAUUCCUUAUUGUAAGAAGAUUUUAACCGCUCUGUCACAGCUCAUUUGACUAAAAUGACCAGAUAACUUUGCCAUCUGUACCCCUCAUAGAGAUGCCAAGGCUGCCUUUUUGACUGGAGGACUCUUUAAGCAGAAACUGGAGCUUCCUCCCUUUUAAUUACACUUUCAGUGAUGACUUCCUGUGGGAACACCGUGAGGGAUGUCUGGUCUUGACUCUUCAGAUGACCCCAAACCAGAAACCUCAGCGCUCGUUCUUCUGGCUUUUGAAAUAUGUUCUGGACUAAAACCACUCCCCAGUGAGUCAUUAAUGCAGAGCUGAGUCUGUGCUGCUUUCAGGCCUCGUCUCUUGCAGAGAACACAGGCUGGGCUUAAUAGAAUAUAAUCACAGCACAUGAGAGUUUGUUUAACUUGUUCUGCUCAGACUCCAUGUUUGACCAAAUGUUUGCCUUUUUUCCAUCUUGUUCAAAUUGAUUUUGUAUACAUAAAUGUGCAUGAAACUAAAAAACAAUUUUGCAUAUUUUUCUGGUAUGUGCUCCAGCUUUUCAAAAUGGUUCUACACUCAACAGUGUUCCACGAGCUGCAUGAGAGCUCCUUUUGCUGUCAAUCAUCUGACUUCGGCUCCCUACCCUGGUUUGCUCUGAGAACACAAUGAAGUCCCAAAGCUCGAAGAUAGAUUUUCAUAGUCUGGUUGUAUUUACGUUUGAAAUUGUUCAGAGUGUUUCUCGUCUCUGUGGCUGCUGGGAGUGUACACUGUUUAAUCAAGAGACACCACAUAAAUCACAGGCGGUCUGGACAACUAGGCAGGGCUGGUCUAACAGAAUCAAAAUCAAAUCUGUCAAAUGGAUGGCUCAGGACUCUGCUUUAGAAGUCUGCUAAUGCUGCAAAGGGAAGAGUCACUGUUACGACAUAUUUUAACUGUAGCAUCUUUUUCUCAAAGGCCAGAUCUCAAGAAACUCACAUCACAAUCCACAACAAGAAAUCACACUAGGCAGCCUCGGCUAAGGAAGCAUUUGAUCAGAAUAUUAGUUAAAAUAAUCUCUUUUUACUCUGAAUGGUGCAAUAUUUGCAUUUUGCAUGCUUGGCAUAAAUUUGAGUUAUGGUCAAAUACACCGUAACGCUGAGUUAGACACCCCCUUGAGAGAUGAAUGUUGCAGACUGCUAUCUUCUCUAGUUAUACCAACUUCAGCAACGGCCACAUGAUAGUAAUACACAGCGGUCUAUGGAGCCAAACAAAAACCUCAACCACAAGUAAUGCUCAAAACAGCACCUACCUUCAUCAACAGUACAUAUAGGGUCCCAGCCAUAGUUCUAGCCACCAAACAUCUUUUUAGCUUUGCCUAAUUUCUUUAGCGGUAGUUCUUCUGCCUUAGCAUCUCAGUCUAAGUGCAUUUCCAUGAAAAAAUAAUCAUAAAUGUUCUUCCUUGAGCUGUGAAACCCCGCUGCACAGUUAUGUGCUGUUCUGAGCGUUAUUUGUGACUAUAGAGUGGCUAUCUUGCUGAGGUGUGCGCAUAGAGCCAUACCGCUAUAUAUUGCUAUCGUGCAGUCGUUGCUGAAGUUGGUAUAACUAGAGAAGCAAGCAGUCGGCAACAUUCAUCUCUCAAGGGGUUGACUAACUCAGUGUUACAGUGAGUUAGACUGUAACUUAAAUUUGUGCCAGAAUAUCCCUUCAAAAAACCUCACAGGAUCAGCACUUUGACCUUGUCUCCUACCUGUAAGUCAUGGUUUUAGACCAGACUAUCUUUAGGAUUAAACUUAGAAACAGAGAUAAAACUUCACUGUUCAUCAGUGACAGCUCUGACUAACAGACCACCUCUUACUGUUUCAUGUUUCUGGGAGCAUAAAUAAGCUUUAGCUGGUGUUUGUCACUCCAGCAUCUAUGUAGCAGAGCAGCAGAGCUUUAUUUAGAUGGUUGCAGGUGAAACUGAUGAUAAGGUUUCUAAAAACAGUGUGCUGUUUGAGUCACAGCAGAGAUAAGUUGUCUUCUGUGACUUUGACUUGUUUGUUUCUGCGCAGCAGUGCAGCAGUCUGUGUUCCUUUUUACUUAUCCGAUGUAUAUUACGCUAUUUUUAUGUACAAAUGUUGAUGUUAAAAACAAAUAUUACAUUUUGUUUUAUCUAGGUCUUACCUAAAUACUUUUUGUGUCAUCUAAACACAGCAGGCUCAAUAGUUACCCAAGUUUUAGCUCUGACGCAAAUCCUCCAGAGCUCCACUGACUACAUUAUACUUAUACUUGACAUGCAGAGUGAAAACACUCCAAAGUGCUUGAGUAUGAAGUUUAUUUUCGACUUAAAAUUUGGAUUCUGUGCCAGUCAUCUGUCCUCAUCCAGAAUAGUCUUUGAGUAGCACUGACACAAAUCAAGGGAGCACUGAGGAUAAAAUCUUAUUUUAGAAAAAGACUAAAAGUUGAGAAAUAAAAAUCUUGCUGUCCUCACGGCCCAAGACAAACCUAGUUUAGUGUUGUCACCACGAGUGUGUCUAAAAGGGUGGCCAGGGGUGGCACUGCUCUUCCUAUUAAAUCUGAAUGGCUACCCCAAAUGCUACCCCUUAAUUUUUAACUGUGAUUGGCCAUUUACUUUGGCAAGUUAGUGCGAAACUUGACUACUACAGGUAUCAUUUGGCUGGCAGUAUCUUUUUUUUUUUUUACUUUCAAUCUCACUUUUUCUUUUUUUUUUUAUGUCCACUUCUACCUAUAGUCAAACAUCUUUUUAAGUACUCAGGAAGAAGGAAGCUGAGAAGAUUCAUGUGUUGUGUUCCCCUUUGAUAGUAAAAGACAUCAAAUGCAGGGGUAUAACAUCUGCAUGGUAGUUAAAUGAUAGUUAAUGCAGUAUAUAUCACAAACAAAGAAGGCAAAUACUUGUAAUGUAAAUGUGUGUGUACAUCUACCCAGGCCAGCCCUGGCUAAGAUGGGCCACCCCAGUCAAAAAGUGAAGAACAUGUCAUACAACACACACACACACACACACACACACACACACACACACACACACACACACAUAUAUAUAUAUGUAUAUGUGCGUGUGUGUGUGUGUGUGUGUGUGUGUGUGAGAGUUUUCUAGACCCAAAGCUUUUGAAUUUGAGACUAUAAGAGACAAAAGAGACCAUCAAUAUAGUCACACUGAACAGUUUCUAAUCUAUAUAAGAAAGGAAAAAUCCAAACUUUUGAUUAGUUUUCUGUCAUUAAAUGAAUAGGAAAGAUUAAUUAUCAAAUCUCUAAGCUCAGCUGUAAUGAAAGCAAAAUUUAGCUGGGUCAUUUUAAUCCGAGUCAGAGAUUUACAUUGUUCGUAAAGCUUUCCUGUCCUUAAAUGUUUUCUCUUGCUCAAUAAUUCAGACUGUGCAGUCAUUUGCUGUUUUUAGGAGGUAUCCAGGGAGAUAAAUGAGAGGAAAUAAUCAGCGAAACUCUCAAAUGAAUCAACAUCUGAAGCAAUUUGCCUGACUUUUAUUUCCUGAUGUUUCAUCAUCCAUGUCUUCAUCAUCAAAGACAGGCGGUUUAAUGUCCAACAUUUUCCAUGACAGCAGCCCAAACCUCCAGAGAUCAUUUAUUUUUCAUUUGCUCCCAUGACCUAUUGAGGAAAGGAAAGUCCUUUUACUCUACUGUAGGAUUAUAAAAGGAGCUUUUAUUUUGAUUAAAACAAAUGAAUGAAGAUGAUCUCUGUGGAUUAGCAUGUGACAAGUUGUUAAUGUCAUCAAAACUUCAGAAAAGGCAUCUCAUUUGUCUAACCUUUCUUCUUUGGCCUGAUUUUUUCUCUCUCCCAGUUGAAAUAUUGGAAAAGAAAAAACCCUGGACCACCCGAGUCCUGACUCCCACUCACAGGUGGGAAUCUAGUGUUUCAGCUUAAGUUUAAAAGUGAUUAUUGUGUCUCCAAACUACCCUGUCUACACACUAGCAUGUCAAAUAAAGCUCUGAAGAGGGUGAAAAUAGCCAGCGAUGUUGCCGUGCAGUGGAUCCUGAGGCCACAGCCGCUCAGCUAACCCGCCUGCCGCUUGAUGUUUAACAAGCUGGUCAUUUAAACACGGCUAAUAAAACAACUCCUGCUGGGGGGAGAGGCUCUUCAUAAACCCUCACUUCACAAUGUUGAGUGUACGUUUCCCCCCGCAGCCCCCGUAUCCCCCCCUCUUUUCCCCUGACCAGUGAAAACUCAAACAGGCACUUAUGCAGGCGUCAUGUUUUUAACUAUAAUUGGAGUUAUAAAAGUGAAACAGCCGCCACAUUAUAGCUGCUGUAACUCAUGUCCAGACUUAGGUAACAUACAGGAGGAUUUACACAAGGUAGUGCAAGAGCAAUACUGAAGCCUGCUGAGGUAAAGAAUGCAUUUAUUAGCUCAUUUUCCUUAUGGUGAACAGAAGCUGAAUUUAAACAUUUUAAACAGAGGCUAGAUUUAAAGGGAUAGUGCUAUUCACCGUCCUGCCAAGGGUUAACACGAAGAUUCAUUUAAUUUACAUCAUGUCUGUGGAAUGAAAGAAUAUUGAUAUAGCUUAGCACAGAGACCAGACAGAGAGGGGAACAGCGAGUCCUGCUGCCCAACAAAAUGUACAAAUUACAGACAGACCCAGCAUGAGAAAGGUGUUAAAAUUUCCAUCUGACUCUCCAAAGAAAGCUAAAAGCAUUUCCCACGAUGCUUUGAUUCAAAUUUAUUUAAUCUAAAUUAGCUCUGACACUGGGAAAUAUGUUUUUUGGCUUAAAUGUCAGCUGUUAAAAAAAAGCUCACAUAAACUGAAUCAGACUUUGUUGUACUUUCACAGAGUUCUGAGAACAAAGAUAAGAAACACAUUUUAAAUUAGAUCUAAUCCUUGGUUUUAGUUUCUGUUCAGGUCAAAAGAUCUUGAUCCUUUACCGUACUGAGUGGUACCUGGACCAUUUUCACUCCCGUCUGCGGCUGUAACACAUAAUGUAUCAUUGAAAUUUUCCACAGUACUCACACUGUUCAAAUAGUCAUGUUUAAUGAUUCAUAUGUGAUCCAUCCAUUGAUCCAUCCCUUGCUCAUCUACGGAUUUUCCCUCUUGCUCAUAUCACUCAUGCACGCCAACAAUAUUCUUGCAGACUCUUUUUUUCUUCCAGUUACAUCGGACUUAAGAGGACAGAAAUUGAUGAUCAAAAUAUGUCCCCAAAACAUUUAAAAGUAGCAACUAGUCUGUUCCACACAGCUGCUGUGCUCUCUGUACCACAGAGCUGAGAAGAGAGAGAAAAAAGUCUUUCAAUGUGUGCAAGCAAACCCUAUUGACUAAUGAAAUAAUGUUCCUUAGUGUAGCUUUAGUGGUCAUAUUGAACAUUAUGUAUAUUUGAUUUACAUAUGACUUAUUUUCCCCUCUCCUAAAAUGUAUUAAAUCUUCGACUACAUAUUUUAGAAUCAGAGGAAAACCACAUCACAGUCUCCUCCAGAACCAACAAGCUAUACCUCUGGUGCUACAUUGCAGGAAACCAUACGAAACCUUGCAUCACAGACACAAAAUAAAGCCGUGGCAAUGUUACUAGCACUGAGGAUCUGCAGGUCUCCAGAUGAUGUUGUGUUUUCCCUGAAAUCCUCCUUUAUCCCACCCUGGAUUAAAGCGUGGUCAUUUUUUUCUUCAUUUUUUCCCAGAGCUGUCAGACAAGACAAACAUGAGAAAAGUAAAAGUAAUCAGACACAUUUGGCAGAACGUUGUUGACAUUCCUUUGAGUUUCUGAAGUCCAGGCCUCAUGGGGUCGACCUCCUCCAGGGAUGACAGGUCCUGGUCACAUCCAGGGCAGUGAGGCAUUUUUUCCUUUUAUCACUUUAUCAUGUUAUAUCUAUUUAACCUUACUCUGAAACCUCUACCAAUGAGUGGGACAUAAGGUCCUAUAUUGGAUGAUAAAGUGUUAUUACACUUGUGUGUAAGAGUUGAGAGGCCUAUAUGUCACUAUGCUGUCUCUAUGGAAAUUGCCUAAAUAAAGUGAGAGGUUUGUAGGGUUUCAGGGGUGGAUUUGAGCUGUUAAUCAGUGACCAACAGUCUGGGACCUUGUGUUGGGGAUGUAGAGAAUAGUGACGCCUUACUGAGCCGUCAGCAAAGCUUUUGUUUCUGCGCUGCAAAUAGAAUAUUUUAAUGAAGUGUUAGGUCAUGUUUCAUAAUGUCUCUGUUAUUCUGCAUCAUGAGUAUGUCCACCACUUUAUUUCGUCGUUAAAACCUGUCCCACUUUUUCACCCAACACACAGAUGUUGGUCUUUACUUCACUGGACAGACUUUUACAUACAUUUGAAACACUAAUAAAGAUUUAGUAAAACCCACUUAUUUCCAUGCAGAUUUAUCGCCUUAUAACUUUUUUGUGUUGGCUACCACAGAUGUAUGACUAAAGGAAUAAAAACACCCAAUACUUUGCUGAUUAAAAUGGGAGGUUAGGAUUUUCCCUGAUAUUAAAACAGAGCUGUUUGACACACGACAUAAUCCAGUCCCCAGCCGAAAACCAAUAUUCCUAUCAAACCAACGAUGCUCCACAGUAGAUUUAAGUCAUUAAGAAACCACAUUCUACAAAUGUCAUUUAUCAGAAACACAUUUCUUGACAUGACAUCCGCUCUGGGACUGGCUGGAGUAAUUUUCAUGUUAUGUUCCUGUUCAGCCAAAAUUGCUGACAUCAUUAGAGCGAGGCGCCAGGAGGCUAUAGGCUAAAAGCCUUCAGGGCAGAAUGACAGAAAGGGGGAGGGGAGAUGUUUUAUGGGGGGCAUUCCUAAUAUUAGGUUUCAGAUGCCAAAGUUCUUGAGUCAUUUCAACCCAAAGUCUUUGGAUAAAAGCUGGAAUCCAGUCCUGGACUCUGUAAUCAGCUGACACUAGAGUCUUCUCUUAACUUCUCUUUAAUUUUUACACUGCAUCCUUUGUUUUCCUUUGCUAUGGCACAAUACGUCCCACAGUUAAAACUUUUAAGGUUUUGCAGGAUGAAUGAGGAAAUAUCUUCCAGAUGUACAAGCCUCAAAACAUUAGAUAAAAACUUCGAUAAAUACGGGCUUGGAAAUUAGGAAUUUUCUUUGGGUUGUUAUGUUAAGGCAACCUGGGUACAAAACCUGAUUUUGUUUAUUUAUUUAAAAAGGAAAACAUAUGUGGGUAUUUCAUAAUGGCUAUCAUGUUGCAGUGAAGUCUGAAGCCCCCAUCUGCUUCUAGACCCCUACCACCAUAGAGCCUGGCUGCAGCUGCAUCCUCUCGCUCUCUCUCUCUCUCUCUCUCUCUCUCUCUCUCUCUCUCUCUCUCUCUCUCUCUCUCUCUCUCUCUCACACACACACACACUGCUCUCCUCUCCCUCCGACCAGCUGUCAUGACCAGCAGUGAAGGUAUCCCCUUUCUCUUCAAGAAUUUGGCUCUAACUUUAAAUCGUGAGCAUGCAUUGAUAAUAGAUGCAGCAAAUUCUUCCAUCUUCUUGACCUCCCUAAAGACUCACUGGCAGCAGAUAAAUGAGAACUUUAAUGGGUCUAUGUUUCUGAUUUAUCAGAAAUCCCAUGAAAAGAGCAAAGCCAAUGAUGAUUAGUUUCAACUAACAAAUUUUGCCUGUAGUCAAAGCCUGACUUAUCAUACUUUUUAGUGAUACGCUGCUCAGUUGUUGCCUAUAAAGCUAUUAAAAACAUAACAGUGAGCCAGAUUGUUGCUAAGAAUGAUGUGGAAUUGCAUCUUGAUAAAAACUGCCACAUCACUAACGUCACGCCCUGAAGUCAGGAUUUGAUUGCCAGCCCUAAAUUCAUGACGCCACUGUAUCAUGAUUAUUUUAAAAGGUGCAAGCAACCCAGAUUAUGUUGAAAUUCAGCGGAGAAGUUUCCUUGUAAAACUUUUUUUCAGUGAUGCUUUCAUUUUUCCUUUUUUUGCCUCGUCUCUAACUUUAUUCCCUGUUUUAAGUACACACAUGCUUUUAUUUUGAAAGGACAUAAAGGGUUCUUGCAGCAGAUCAUAACCCAAAUGAAAACAGCCAAUAAACCAAUUAACAUCAGACCGUCUUAAUGUUUUAUUGGGAUAGUCAAGAAAUUGGAGAUGCCUGUGUAUCCUGAGUUAGAAAAACAACUCUGCUCCUUUUUCAUGUUUGCUGUGUCAGAACUUGGAUCAAUUUUAGCUCAUAAAUGCCUCACAGCCAAAGAAGAGCCUGUUGUAAAAAAUAAGAAUAAAUCCAGUCCCAUAUCAAAGCCAACAGAGAUGAGAGACUCUGUGAGUAAAUGUGAAUCCUACACUGUCUGCCUGCCACCCUUGAACCUCAUCCUCAAUCUCUCUCUGUCUGUCCGUCCGUCUGAUGGAUGCAGGCGGUGAAUUUCUCAUGGAGGCAGCUCUAUGCGGGUAUGCAGCUGCUGGUAGACUGAAGUUACAGGUUGAAUGAGUCAUUAGUGGCAGGAGAAGGGGAUGCUACCACCUGAUUCUGUCUUGUUCAAAGGAGUGGGAUUUGUUUGUAGUGUGUAAAGUCACUUCAAAAAGGACGGACUGAGACUUUGUGGAGACAUUUGAACUUGAGUGGAAUUCAGCUGAGGUAAAAAAAUGGAAAAAUCCAUGCAGGCUUCACUAUCCCUCCUCAAACACUGAGUAAUAACUGUAAUAUCUAAAUAACUACACCCAAAAGCACUCAAAUUUUCUUCAUCAAAGAAACAUCUUUUUAUUUUUACAUUUGCUUUAAUUUAUAAUUUCAAACAUCACAUUGCAGAUUCAUUCUGACAAACAGUGUUUAAUCACAGUUUUGCUUUCAUAUCAGAAGGGUAAGAUGUGACUUUUACCAGGCAUGUCACCAAAAAAAAAAACUGUAUAUGAGUGCAGUUUAAAACUAUUCAUAGUCAACAAAAGCUUGUACUUGUAUUGCAAAUACACAUAUUAAUUACAUGAUUUACAUGCCUGAAGAGACCAAAGUACCACCACAAAGACCAACAUUAAGAAUCCUGUGGCAAUUGAUCUAGCUGAAAACACGUGUUUGUAGCUCUUUGUUUUGGUGUACAUGGUAAAAAGUGAGCCUUGUGUGGAGUCUGUGAUUAUGGACAAACAUAUGUAAGUUCUGUAACCAGCGUAUAUGCAUCAGAUUAUAUAAAAAUCCAAAAGUGAUCCUUUCCCUGAACUUGAGUAGUUUCAGCACUUUGACAAAGUAAUUUUGGUGCCCCAAGUAAAACUGUGACCAUUUACAAUGUGGACCACUUUUUAACAACUUGUUAAUGAUUCUCGUCCAAAAGUCAUAAAAUUAGAAAUGUAACCAGGUGGUGCAAACUUGUCAGAAGUGCCUCACCAAGCCAAUGUGAUGCCGACUUCAUUUACAAGUUUUGGAACUUGGGACGAAAGACCCAACUAAACAAGUGUGUAAGAGCAUGUUGCAAUAGCGUGAUUGUGUCAUUUAGUAUCAUGUAUCAUUGAGACGAUCACCUAGGACACAACUCCACAAUCCAACCACUAAUGUUGAAUCCAAUUCAUCAGUUUCCAGAGAAAACCACAAGAUUAAACAGCGAGCUCGAAUGGAAGAGCUUUGUUUUUGUGUGCCAAGAAACCACUUACUGCAGCUUAGAGGUAGUUCUGAUCUGCUGAGAUUUCUGGACUGGUUGAGGGUUCAGCUCAAAGAUUCCCCAAGUUUAAAGGGAACAAGAAGUCAGUCAGUCAGAGGAAAUCUGAGAACAUUAAAAUACUUAAAUCUGUUUUUUCCUCUCUUAUCCCACGACAGUGUGUUUAAUGUCAGAGAGGCUGGAGGUGUUCUCACAUGAAAGUUAGAGCUACGCUAUGAUGCAACAUAUUGGACUUUGGUGCCACCUUGUCUGCAUGUUAUUACGUGUGUUACUACGUGUGUGUGUGUAUGUGUGUGUGUUACUGUGUGUGUGUUUGUGCUUUGUUUUCAUAGUAAUUUACCCAGCAUUUAAAGCAAAUGAGUUUCCCAUAGCAGCUGAGAUUGUAAUCAAAGCAUGGGUGACACGGUGAGAGCAUGACUGCAAAAGACUGAUGCUUCAAUCGCAAUACUCCAUAUUUCAACAUGUAAAUAUCUUGUGUUGUAAGAAAAGCAUUACAUGAAGGAUUACUCGCACCCAUGUUCGCAGCCAUCUCCAGCGUAUAAAGUGAGACACUGGUUGAGCAAGUGCCAAAUUUGGCUUUUCUAGUCACCCGUAAUCGAAAACCAGCUUUUGCUUUCACUAUGAGAAAAUUAUGGAAAAUCCAAAGUAGAAGAAAAACUGAACAAUUGUACUGGCAGUAAAAGGUGAGCUGUGUAGCAGGUGUGUUAGUGAAGCAGAGGGACAGAGUGAGCAUGAAAAGAAAGUGACUGUGUUCAAUAAUGUAUGUUUACUGUUAGUACUGUUAAAGUUUUAGGGAGGUUCUCGAGUUUAAAAGAUGCGUUUGAUUGCCAGUUCGAUGAGUAAUCUUGUUUUUACUGAGCAGUCCUAUUGGAAGCUGAAAAAACAGUGUCUUUUUUUCAAUGCAGCUGACCUUUAUGGUUGUGUGGAGUCAGUGGAAAAGUUUAGAACUGCUAAAGGCAAAAAUCAAGAUGUUGAACUUUAACUUCAGACCAACAUUUAUUAGAGCUCUCACUGAUAAACUUUCUUUUUUGGCUUCCCGUCUUAGAGGUCACAGGUUAGUUCAGUCAGUCAUCACGAGAUUCUGUGUUUUGGAAAGCUUCCUGCUCUAUCUGUGCCUUAUUUUAUUCAUUUUUUUCAAGAUCUGAUGAAACCGCAUGUGAAACUGAUGCAACAGAAAAGUUUUGGAGUUGAACCUUGUGUUGGUCCCAGCAGAAGUUCUCCCUGAACAGGCCCCUCUACUAAUUUGAUCCAAGCUGGAGAGAAAAGCAGACACAAAUCUGCCUGCUAAAGCUGAACUGAGAAACUUUCACUGUAACUUUAUAGACAUCAUUGUUUUAACACUUUUUCAGAUGGAAUCCAAUUACUGGAGUAUUUUAGCAUUAUAUAAAAACUUUGCUUGCCUUUUGAGACACAAAUCAUUAAACUGGCAUUUGUUCUUUAUGGAUGGAGUGUGCAGCUAUGAGAAAAUAUGGAACAGACUCUCUCCCUUUGUUUCUUUUUUCAAUAUGUAAAAAAAAAAUAUAUGCAGCUUAGAUGUGUGUAUGGUUUGGUUUAGGUUUGGAAUUUUCCUCACUAUCACAGUGACAGUGACACAUUUAUCUUGGAAUAGCUUCAUGUUGACCGAAAUGUGUACCAUGCCUAUCUGAACAUCAAAACCAGGCGCUGGAAACGAUGCCAGAAGUUCCCUCGUAAAUGAGUCCCAUAUGGUUUCAACCAAAACAACUGCUUGGCCUUGUCUGAAUUUAUACAACACUGCUGUAUCUUUGUGGACUACACAGUAGUUUGACUACAUGCUUGUUUAAAUGUGUUUGUGUUUGAGUUAGCACUCCUCAGCAAAGUCAUUUUUCACCAAAUAUCAUUAUACUUAAUGAGUUUUUCUAUGUGAUUCUUUCAGUCUCAUUCUCCAUGAACCCAAGAAGUCUGACUUUGCUUUGUUUAUCUUUGUGUCCCGUCAAAGUAACUCAUAAUGCAGUGACGCCACGAUAGAGAAAAGGAAGGUACCAUGUUUCUCAUAGCGCAUGCAGCUCAAAUAGUGACAGCCUCCUUUGGUUUGUAGUUAUGCGGUUUACCAGACACUAAUUUAAAUGCUCAGUUGCAGCAUCCCAUGUUCCUCAAAAUAUGAUAAUUGACUCAGUUGUGCUAAGUUUCUCAGGCUCAUGUUUUAUGCAUCAGUGCUUACUGCCUGUCUGCUUUUGUCAUUGAUACCGAGCAUGGCCUGCUGCGCUCUGCCCGGAAUGGCAAGAAGGCUUGAGUUUCCUUCCAGCACAUCCCCAGUCCAUUACCCAGAGGGCUGUGCAGCUCAUUCCUUGGCCUUAGCAAGACCUUGAGAGGCCUGCGCUGCUUUGUUUAUGGGUGUGCACUGGAGGUUGGCUAUGGUUGAUAUCAACUGAGGGUGAAAGUUAGUGACAGGGAUGUUGCAGCUCCAAUUCAUCACCAAGUCAUAUAUUUUUGCCCAUUUCCUGCCACCACAUAUUGUUGUACAACUUAUUCUUCUCAUUUAAAAACUUAAUCAGCUUUUUCUUGUUGGGUUUGAUAUAUACAGUCCUGCAGUAGAGGGAAAGGUACAUAAAUCUCCUAAAGAUACAAAUAAAGUUAACUCAAUGGAAAAUGUUAAAGUAGUUUUUGUGAAUAGAACCAUGUUGAACACGAAUAUUUCAGAUUAUAGAUGACCUCUGAGUAUUGCUCUUUAGGAUUUUUGUACCUUUAGAUUAUGAUUACUAUGAAAUGGGAACAUGUUCACAGUGUUGAAUGUUAAACUUGAUCCUGAUCAGUAAAAAUCCACAACAAAAAACGUGAUUUUGUCCAGCACUUUUCACCCCUGCUCAGUUGACACUGUGGUAAAAACACGGUUUCUGUUGUUCACCCUGUCUGAAUUCCUAUUUGCAUAACCACAGUUUUGAUGCCUCAUGCAGCUCCUAAAUUUUAUUUUUUUUUGAGAGAUGCUGUGUACGAUACUUGAAUAUAUCUACUUGGCCACUUUCCACCAUAUUUGCAUGAAUUAAACAUCGAGUGCGCAAACUUAGAAAGCUCAGGCGAUAAAAUUAGAACGUCAUAUUGGGUGUUGACAGAAAUGCUGAGAGCAGGGCAGCACUGCAGAAAUUUUGGAGAUGACUUGGCCUAUCAGUCAUGAGGUGCAGCUGCUCCUGUCGGGUAAGGGGGAGGGGGAAUGCUUGAGGAUGUGUAAAUCAGGUCUUGCCUGUCCCCAAACUCCAACCAGAGACUUGAGUAAAGCCUAAUGGAAAAAUCAGGACAUGCAGAAGGAAUCCUUUAGACUCUCAAGGCUGCACUCCAGAGCGUUUUUUCCCCCUCUCUGGAUGCUUUAAACAUGUACAACGAUAAAAACGCACAAGAAACACAUGAAUAGAGGAAUCAAGAUGAACGGCACUGAAGUUUGACAAACUGGUUAAUAUUUUUCCAUGAUUUUAUUAUCUCCGCUGCUUCCUGUUCUGCAAAUUCUAACUCCUAAAUGUUCCUUAUGCUGAAUCGUGCUUUGAUGUGAAAAUGCAAAUGCGUGCUCACACACCAAAAUCUUUCUUCACACACACCAUGUGGAAACCAUGUUAUCUCAAGUUCAAAGCAUAGCCUGGGUGUCUUUCUUCCUCUGUGGAGAGACUUACUCAACCCGAGAAAACGCUUUAAUGAUAAGACCUGAGUGUGACGGAUAGUUUGAUAUCAAAGACUCAAGGACCAGACGUGCUGAACGUUUCCACACAGGGAGCAGUUGUCCGUCUUUUUAAGCUGAACUAAGGCAGUAAUUUUAAAACUAACGUACUCACUAGAAGGGUUUGCUAAAUGGAUCAACAUUCAGUAUAUUAAUAUUCCUUAAAGUGGAUUUCCUGCUUUAAUUUUCAAGAUGGAUGGCUUUGUCUUUAGGAGAGCCGCUCGUUUACUUGUAUUUUCUGACAGUCCUUUUACAUAAUGUCAAAAAAAUUAAAACUUUAUGUCAAUAAAUUAAAUUUGACUUGUAAAAUACAUGCAAACAUAUUAGUCCAUCUUAAUUUGCACUAAUCCAAAUGUCUGUAUUCAAUCUUGAUAAUGACUUUCUUAGUCAGUUGGUAACUUCUGAAUAUUUUGCAUCUUGAAAGUUAUUGUUUUUUGUUGUUUUAUAUUUUUAUGACGCUCAGCUUUACUUUGUGGUUUCACUGUGUGUCCACACUCUCAUUAUCCUUGCUCCAGAAACGGUCCACAACAGUAUUCAGAGAAAAAGCUCCUACUAAUGCACAGUACUCUGACUGUCCAGCAGCACCACUGUGAACAAAGACAAUGUGCCUUUCAUGGCUUUAUUGAGAGGACAGGACAAAGAAUAGAGUCAGAAACAGAGAAGAGAAAGUCGGGAAUGACAAGCAGAAACCGGCUGAGAGUGGGAGUUAAACCAAAGGACUGUAGCCGAUGUAUGUGGAGCACUGGGCUAAGUCAGCCAGCACCUCUGAAGAAAGGCAAACCUAACCACAAGCUAAUAAACACAGCAGACUAUUGACCGGCUGAAGAGCCAGAUUUUCCCCUUUAGAGUCACUGAAGAUUAAACGGAGAGUGAAUGAGACCCUAAACUCACCAACUGCAUGUGAAAAGUUUGAUUUUUUACUUUUACCAGCUUUUGUAAUCAACUAUAUUAAAACAUUGGUGUCAACACUUCGAUCAGGAUGUCUUAAAAACCACACAGACAAAUGACAGCUUUGUUUGAAACUUAUGUAACGUCUUUAUUAGCUAAGAGAGAGAGCAGCUGUGUCUCUGGCCCUUUUCCAAUUUUACCAGCUUGACCUGGGGUGCCUCAUUUUUCUGACCUCAGGUCAUCCUGUGUUUUUUUAUAAAUAGAAACAACCUUGUAUGUAAAAGUUUUAUCAAGAGUGCUGCUCCAAUCUAAAUGUGUAUGGUAAGUCUAACUGCUGCGAUAACAAGAAACAGAGAAAGUCUCUUUCCUUGAGCUCGCUCUCUUUGAACCUACAGGCUUAUCAUCAGUGCUCUGGAGUAUUCUCAGGAAUACGUCUGGAGGAGGGAGAUAAAAGAAAGCAGCAGGGGGAGGCAGAAAGGUCCUCAAGUUGACACUAUCCAGCCAUCUGAGCAAGGGACUUUUCAGAUAGUUCAAUGUUGACUGAUAAAUCAGCCUCUGGUCUUCUUCUUUAUCUUCAUUCAGGGUGGACAGAUCGGGACAGAAAGUAUGCCUGCACAGGGAAGGCCAGAAGAAGGAGCAGAUUGUUCGGUUGCUGUCAUAGAUGGAUCAGAGGUCUGCUGUGUGCUGGAUGGAUGAGUGUGUUUGCUAUGUGUUUGUGCUGUCUAUAUGGGUCCAGACUGCCAGGCUCCAUACAUAGAGUCAGUCAGGGUGCACGGCCGGGUUCAGGAAAUGACUGCGAUUAUGCCAAAUGUCCCCUUCGCCUUAGUGUCCCUUGUGGUGAUGGAUAUGGUAUGUAAUAGAGUAGAGAUGUGACUCCACAGAGGCUGCUCAAAAGCACCAGUCUUUGCAGCCCCAUCUUGAGUUCAAUCUCUGAAUUUUGAGGUUUAUUUUUUUCCAUAGUCUUUUUACAUUCUGGGGGAAUUUCUUUUGUUAACAUCCUAAAAAACAUUCCCAGAUACUUUUAGAUACAGAGCAACAAGGCACUAAAGGGUCGUAAAAGGUGUCUCAAGCAAGCCGCUGCACAUUCACAGUCCUCGCAUUCCUCCCACUUCACAGGAUGACCAGAGGCUAACAGAGUGAGGUAACACAAGGCCGUAAACCUUUAGCCAUCACAGCGGGACACACCUGCCCCUUAACACAAAGAGACACAGCGAGGAACCAUAGGUGCACACCUGGAUGGGAAAUUUGAGAGCAGCAACAAGACCAAGCUGUCAGAGGGGGGGAAACUUCAGAUCAACACACUUCUCCUUAGUUAAACUUUCUUCACUUAGACUUUGCUCACACUGCAAACAAAAAGACCAAGUCUGAUUUUUUAUUUGUUCAGAUUCAGACUCUUGAACUUUUUAAAGCAGCAGAACUCGCACUGGAUCGGAUCUUUUUAAUUAGAUGUUGUCCAACUCCUGUCCUGCUCUCCUCUCUCCAUCUGAAACAGUUCAUUUGUGGAUAUUCAUGUAUUUUUUAUAGCAUUAGACAUUAGUAGCCAAAAUCCCACAAUACAUUGGAACAAAAGUAGGAAUCCAAGUAGAGGCUAGAUGGAUAAAAACACUUCAACAUAGUGUCCUCUAUUUGGCUUAGCCUCAGUUUGUGCAGCACUGGAAUGAAGCUAUUUUUAUCCAUGUUAACUAAAUUCCCUCAAACCUGCGGUUAUUUUAAGGUGUUUUGUGGAUGUGUUGCCUGUCUGUUCCUCUCUUUUCUGCUCUUUCUUCUCCUGUUUCACUUAACAAGCCAAGACAUUUCACUGUUUCAAAUUUUCUCAGGAAGACUAAACACAUUCCAGUGAACAUUAUUACUCCUGAAUUAGCUUUUAUGUGCUGUUUGAUUUACUUUGAGUAGUCUAAAUGGUUAUUUUAAGAGUUCACUGACUUGAUUUUAAGACUUGUUGAGUUUUGUCCCCCCAAAGGCUUGGGCCCAGUUCACUUUUUGUGCAUAAAAGGCAUUGUGCUCUUAAUCAGACAAGGCUGGAUUUGACCAAGGCUGAGAAAUCAGGUCAUUUCAGGCUGAGCAGUGUGGUUCAUAAUGAUAGAAGUGAUAACAUAGAGUUGAACAGCCAUGCUAAUUGGCAGACUUAUGAAGAAUACUGUAACUAUUCAAAACACUAGAAAAACAAAUGGACAGUCUUCAAACUUUCUCAGAUGUGCCCUGUGCCAAACUUGUUCAUUGGCGCAGUUGGAAUAAAGUAAAAAUGUGUUAUUUCUCAUGAAUCAUGGUGCAUGAGAUAAAAGCUGAGACUUGGCCCCAAGCUGAAGUUUCCACAUGAUUUAAUGGGAAUCUGUUUCAGUAGUUUUUAAAUGAUCCUGCUGUGAAAACAAACAGGCAAAUACCCAUAACCUCCUUGGUGUACAGCACACAUACACUGCAAUCAGACACUUCAAUUGGCUUUUUGAGAAAUGGUGAUUGCAGCUAAAUAACUAUGAUAUUUGGGCGACCUGGCCAAUAAAUAUUUGUAACAACCAAGCUUAAAGUAUUACCAUCCCAAGCUUCCUCUUCCUGUGGAUCAGUGUUAAAUUAUCUAUAAAUCCUGCUUGACUUAUUGCUUGUUUAUACAUCAUAACACAAACACACAUAAACCACUCUAAUGGCAAACUCAAAGUGGUUCAAUAUGGGAUAUAAAGUCAUUAGUUUUCUUGGCGUGCAGAUGUUUCGCAGAAAUGCAUAACCAGGCACAUGUUUAUGUUGACAAUAUCCCUGUAAUGCAGCAUUACAGAUUCAAUUUCUAAACUUAACAGGAGACCUCUGUGAAAAAGAAUUGGAUUUCUACUCUGCGGGUGUUUUGAGGAUACCGCUUUUUCUGCUGCUAUUGCCUGAAACUUUUGCUACUUUGGACUCACUCUUGUUGAUUCAUGUUGGUAAUCAGUGUAUAUUCUGUGGUUGUGUAAUUCCUUCCGUUUUCAUGAACGUUUUGUUGUACCCUCCUGUUGGUGCACACCACAGGGUCAGAACAUUAAAAAAAGAGCAAGUCCAUCCAACUCUCACAACUCCACACACUAGGAAGAAGACAUAAAAUGUGCCCUAACCCUCAACCUAAACUGCAGUUGAGGAAAGAGUCACACAGAUUAUUUUGCUCCUGUGUGACACUGCUGAGCGCCCUGAUGGAUUACCUGCAGCUGACCCCGGGUGUUAGUUGUGAUGAAUCUGUCCAAAAGCAUCUGGGGCCCCAGCAGAGUUAUUGCCUGGCUGUUAUCAGCUGAAAGCAGACACUGAUGGCUGUGUUGGGGCAAAAUAUCAGCGCCAAGACCACUUUUUGUUUCACAUUUUUACAUUUGGAUUCUUACUCUGGAGAAAAAAUUGGACAGAAAGUUUUCUCUUGCAGAGAAAAAUAAAACUUUUAAAUCCAUCUUGUCUUGGAUCAGAGGAUCUUCGCAUUAAAAUGACUCAAUUGGGCACUUUUAUAAAUGGAAAUUCCCUCCUUGACACACCUCCCACACCUUCCACUCAUGGAUUCCUGACAUUUUUGAGAUAAUUUCAGGACAUUCGGGCCCUCAUAUCUUUAUAUUUAACCUCACACGACAGAUAGACUGGUUCGCAUUUCCAUGGCUUUGGAUAAAUUUCACAUCUAUCAAGACAACACUUCAGGAAGGAAAAACACUUGGUGGUUGAUUAGAUAAACAGGCUGUCUGUCGCGUUCAUCACAGGCCAUUCAGAACGACAAAAUGUGUGACGUGGUAGUCGUGUACAAUGGCAAGAAGUAAAGAAAGACACUGGUGCAUCAGCAAAUCUUCCACUGAAGAGACACCGUUACAGUGAAAGCUGUUUGGAGUCAUCAGGUUUUAUCCCAAUCCUUAAAGGACACCACAGCUAAACCAAACCUUCAGUUACUGCAUCUGUGCUGGUCAGUCAGUCAUAAUCUGACUGUGCACAAGUGUCGUAUCUUUGAGCUUUUCCAGAUAGAUGACAGACUAAGAAUCUGGCCAAUGCAUCUAUUUUGUUAAUUCACACAUGCCUCACAGUGUACAUUUUUCUUGGUCUGAUGUUCUCUCACAGCUCAUGACACCCUGCUUGGUUUAAGCCUGGGGAGAGCUGGAUGAAGCCCUGUGUAAAGGUGACGGUCUCUGGAUCGAUAUCACCUCAAUAACACAAACACAACGGUCAAAAAUGUUAUGCAAGCAAGCAACUCUGUUGAGCAAUAUCAAUUUGCACUUUUAUUGGUGGGGAAAUUUCUCAACUAUUGCCCGAGUGGUGAAACGCAGGCUCAUCGUGACUCAUAGAGAAAAGUUCAGAUAAAGCCAGUAUGCAACUGUUUGAACACAUGCAGCCCAGUCAUGUAGAGUUGGAAAGCUGUCAGGGGAUCUGUGUAUGAAUGAAAGGGGCUUUUGAAAACUUCUGAAUUUCACAUGUUCUCCUUACGAGUACAUUUCUGAGUUUCCUGCUCUCAAAACUCUCAUAAUGUGAUUUAAUUUUUUCCCUCUAACUUUGUUCUUUAACCUUGAACAGUCAUUCACUUGGCAGGCAUAUCCCUUUUUAUCAAACUUAUGUACAAGUAGCUCCAGAAACAUACAUAUGACACUGAGGCAGGUGAAGGGAGCGUUAACUCGUGCUGAAGAUCCAGGUUCAGGUCAACAGGUUUGGUUGAGUGAAGUGAGCUCUUGAUCUCACUCACUUCCUCCUUUAGCUCUCGCCUGCAGUCUUGUCAGUCAACUAAUCGAGCCGUCUCCAGUGAAACGUCAGCCUGAGGCUGAGGUGAUCAGCAUUCAUACAGUCAGAAGAAACUGAAGGUGAAGGAGGGAAACCUGCAGUCAAAGAAAACAGUCCCAGUGUCCAGAACGGUGUGUCAGCAGGUCCUGUCUUUGCAUGUUCAGCUGAGUAUUUUUAUAUCGCUGUUUGAUAUCAAGUCCUUAUGUUCCUUUACAGUAACAAUGCCAAGAACAAAAACAAUGCACCAAAACUUGUGUUAAUAGUCCUUUAAAAGCUUACUUUAAACAGAGAAGAUAUUCAAAUCGGGUCACAAGUUUUAUAAUUUAGAGCAGGGGUGCACAACCUUUUUUAAAUCAAGAUCUACUUUAAAAGUUUCUAGUCUGUUGAGAUCUACUAGUUCACACAGUCAUCCAUAGUGCUUUCCGGCAGCAUAUCAGUGACAUAUUUAUUUACAAUGCACACAAGAAAUCGACACAUCUAGAUGACAAUCAAUUUAUUCUACUUUAGUGUGACUCACCAAAAAGUGCAUCAGCAGCCUCGAUGAAGUAACGACUUUGCCGUCCUUGAUCGACUUGUGUUUUGCAAGAGCAUUAGUAACACAAUAAGAUGCCGUUGUUGCAGCCUUACCCAUGGUGUUUGGUCUAGUAAAAACAGACUGCUGUGCGGCAAGCUCACUCUUCUAUUCCCGCACUUUUAGCAGGAAAGUCCUUCGCAUAACUUUUGUAUACUGUCUUGAAAUGUCGUUCCAAAUUGCCCUUCUUUGGUAUGGCCACACUGGCUUUGCAGAAGAGACAGAUGGGCCUUGAGUUUGAGUAGACAAAAAAUGUAAUCAUCUUCCCACUCUAGGUGAAAAUAGGAAGUUCUCUUUGGGUCUGCCAUCUUCCUUCAUUUAGCUGCUAACUACCGUACUAGCAAGCGCCUCUCAGCAUGCGUGUGACCUGACCUGACAGCCACAACAGAGAGGGGGGCGUGGCGCUAGUGCAGCACAGCCAUGAGAAAAAUACUAUCAAAGCGUGGAAUGAUUACAAGAGUUUUAUUUGCCGUUGUCAAGGCUACUUCCUGCUAUUGACUGAGAAUUAGUCCGUGAACUACUUGUUGUUCGCAAAUGACUUACACACUAGUCUAAAGGAGAACAUUACAAUAAAUGCUCCAGCUUUCAGCACUGCAUCCAGAUCACAUACUAAUAGUGGUAACUUAGAAUAGAAACCCUAGCUUCAGAAGGAACUCCAAAAGUUCAUUUUCACCAACAAUCAAAAACACUGAAGUCUUUCCAUGUACCCGUUAGACUAAUGUUUUCUGAAAGCUGAUACUCCAAAAUGGCGCCUGUGUUUCUUCAAAGGACACAACAUGUGGAUUGGUCACAUCAUUCUUAUCCACAGUAAUCCCCUCGCAGUCAAGAGUUCGCAGAGGAUUGAUGAAUCUCUGGUACUCGGUCAGACAUGUGCUUUUUAUUUGGUCACCAGGCGGCCACACUGCCUUAUCAGCACAACAGGACCAUCCAGGAAUGCACUUCUGCACUUUGUUGGGGACUGUCGUUGAAAUGUUCUGACUAAAGCAAAGUUUCAGAUGAAGAUUUAAAACCAAAUUGACCUAUCUUGAUCAUAUUUCCAGCUUUAACUUUAUAACAAAACUGUAAAUUCUGCUUUUCAACAUUAAGAUAAUUUGGAUUUUAUAUGUAUUUUCACUGCAGUGUUUUAAACUUUUAAAAAAAUCCAGAUAAGUAAGACUGUAUGAGGACUGGAAAAUUCUCACUUACGUUUUGUCCUGAUGGUUUUAUGUUGGAACAGAAAAGCAGAACAGAAAUUUGUGUACCUUUUCAAACUAGAAACCUCUGAAGUUUGAAACCAGCUCCAAGUGAGAACCAGUUUUGGAUAACCAAGCCUCUUAAUGACUCAGUUUUUUGCAGGGUAAAAGGCUGAGGUUUUCACUAGCUAAUGUUGUAUUUCAAACAAGUAACUUCUACUCUGUAAAUGUAUCCUUACCAGUCCUGUAUGAUGUGAAUCUUGUCCAUGGUACAACAGGGGUAGCUUCAACGUGGGCUGAGGUUACAUCUGAAAUAAUCACACUGAAAUAAUCCCUCUUCCCCCUUCUUUAUUUGAAAAACCCUAAUAAAUAAUUCUUGAUGUACUGCAUGACAUGAAACCCCAAAACUUUCGCUUUUUUCUUUUUUAGCUCGGUUUAUUUCUGAUCUAACUGGUUUCUGUUGGCUUCACCUUUAAUAACACUCAGUUUCAGCUUUUCUUAAUCAAAUCAUAUCAUAAAAAAACAACAUUUUAUUGCUUUUGUGCUUUUUGGCUGAUGCCUGAAAUCACAGAUAUUGUGAAAUAUCUUAAAAAGCGAGUCCCUUAAAUUUCUUUUCAUAACAUUUGAGUUCCUGUGGCGGCUUGUUUUUCAUUGGUAACUAUUGAGUAAGCUGUUUGUUUAUUACAAACACACCACAAUAGUUUUUUUUUUAUCCUGUAACAUGGAGCACAUUUCUCUCCGGUACAAAAGGAUUUUUUUUUAUAAGUCAGCAAACAGAAACAGUUUUGUAAGCUUUUUUGAACAGCCAGAAGUGAAAAAAGUAUCUAAUGUUAUUACUUUAAUUGUCAGUUAAGCUGCUUUUCAUUAGCUCUCCUCAGAACUCAUGAAUUAUUAUCAUUAUUCCUAUUAUUUGAACUGGCCUCGGUCUUUAUGAAAUACCACAGUAAUCUUUCAUUGAGAAUUAGAUUUGAUAGGAGUCCAGUGCCAGCAGGAUUGUGGUGAGUUCAUUUCCUGCAUGUGCAGCGUGGGAGGAAGAAGAGGGGCUGGGGGUACUCUGGGGGGGCUGCAGAGGGGCAAUGGUCUUGGAGGAGUUAAAAAUGACACGCAAUUAAUCAGCCUGUGCAGACGACCGCUAUCACUUGACUGCGGAGGCUGGAAUAGAGGCCCGUCUGUGCUGAACAGCUGCAGGAGGAAACGGACUCUUUGCCUUUCUUAGACAUGUGGACGGAGGGUGGAAGAGGGAGAAGCAGUGAGAGUGAGAGAGGGAGAGUGUACAUGUGUGUGUGAGGCCACUUACAGAUGGGAUGGAGGAGGGGGAGGAGGAGUCGAAGAGGAAGAGAAAAAAAUGGAGGUUUUAACAGCCUACCCACAUCUGUUUAUUUAGAAAAGAAACCAUUGUGUCAUUCAGUUAUUCUAACAGCCUACACCAGGGCCAGUGUUAGUCCCACAAUGACGGCUUUUUAAAUACACAGUUUACACUCCUAUGAAGUGGCCUCAUAACUGCGUCGGAGCCUCGGGAACGUGCCAAAUGGGGGAACAUGCUAGGGUUUCACAUUCCCUCCCUCCCGCACUACUUGACGUCUCUAUAGCAGACUGUGAUGCCAGAGGUUAGCCGAGGGAGAUCUGGUGGGGGCGAUUCGUCCUGGACUCGGGUGCUUUUUCUGGACCUAGUCUCUUAAAUUGGUAGUCAAGGGUUGGAGGCCUGCCAAAAAGACUCUUGGGGGUUUUGGACACAAGUUUGAAAGCCAUGCAAGAAACUGAGAUGCCAUUCUGCUGUGCUCUGUUGUUUACAUAUCCUAUCAACUGUGUACUCAAAGACUGGGCCCAGCAUAAAUGAUAAAAACACUCUGAGAGGUUCACUCCGGGUUUUAGUUUCCUUUUUUAAUUUAUAGUCUUAUAAGACUGUAUCUGACUCUGGAAUUGGUCAUUUGACUGGAAUUUUUCUGUUCUGUUUUUCUGUCCUAUGCAAAACUUAUUAAUUCCCACAGAGACCCACAUGAUCAAGUUUUCUGAAUAAAUAGGCUGCUGGCCUGACACAAACAUUUGUAGACUUCAGUUUCUUUAUGCUUUAAGCCAUGCCAGUGUCUUUUUCUUCAAGAUUUUAGUCAACUAGUGAGCUGAAGAUUGCGGCAGCUCAGCUCUCAGCCCCCAGUUUCUUGCUGAAGAUCACUGGAGGAAAAAAGCAACUUUAAUCACAGAGUCUGUUUAAGACAAGGAUUUCUCAUCUUCUGUUAAAACUCUUUGAACUUCCUAGUUAAGGAAUCAGAAACAAGACAGUGGCAGCUCAGCUUUCAGACUCUUCUGACUACCUGUGGUCACAGAGAACUGUCUGAAAGAUGCUUAUAUGCAAUGGAAAGCCAUUUUACUCUGUUUUUACUUGUUUUGGGUUAGUGCUUUCCACCAAGUUAAGCUUGGUGGAUAGUUUGGCUCCUGACAUUUAAGGGUAAUUUUGAUCUUGGUUUAAAGUCACAUUCACACCACACUCAAACACUGAUGGAAGAGGGUGCUGUGUAAAGCAUCUAUUAGUAUUAAUUCAUCCUACUUACACACUGCUGACAGGUUAGGGGUUAGUCAGUAUGUUUAUAUAUUGGUCAAGAAAUUGAUUUGUUGCUUUAGUGUGACUGAAACUGAAAUUACUCCAAAUCAAACUUCUUAAAAAUGCGUAUCUAGAUAAUACAGUUGGGGAUUGAGGGUUCUGUACAUGCUCAAGAGUUAACUGCUGAGCUUUGGCCCAAAAAUUUAAAAAGUGCGUAAAUACGUUCCUAAAAAGUCAAGUAGGAAACAAAACCUUGGCAGAUGAAGAAUUUGAGGGUCAAAAGUCAAAUCUGUCAUAUCAUACAAAAAAAAAGGGAACAGAGAUGUUAAAGUGAUGAUGUUUUCAUUGUUUGAUGAACAUCUUGUAAGCCGCUUGCCAACCGGUGCAUGUAAACUGGGACAUGGACAGUGGUCAAGGUCAAACCGCAGUUUGACUUAACUGUGCACGUAAAAAUUCUGAGUGUUUUGACCAAUAGAAACUUUGUGGACUGUGCAAUGAUUGAAAGACGAUUGACUUUACCACUGAGCAACAGUGCACUACACCUGCAACAAUUUGUGUACAUCAGUGACUUGAAAAAUCAAAAGUGCAGAUACUUAAAGCUUCUGUAAAGAACUUUUGGUUUGCAUUGAUAUUGGAACCUCCUGUGGAAAAAGUUAUACUUCCUAUAUAUAUUCUCUUGUUCAUGUGAAAGUCGUAUUUUCAGACAAAAACCUUAUCCUGGUGUCAUUUAAUAAACAAAUGUGUCACCUACUGUGAUUAUUUGCUGUAUACAAAAGUUUUUAAAAAGCUGUUUUUUUUUUUCCAGCCUGCUGUCAUCAUUUGAUCUGACACCUCCCCCCUCACCGUGAGUGUGAACAAAGCAAAAAUCACACAGGGAAAUUCCCCCAAUUUUGUUUGCUUUUGAAAGUCAGAAAGAGGAUUUAGUGUCAAAUUUCAUAACCAGUUAAAACUCCUUACAUUGCCUUUAAUUUUCAAAAUUUGAGCCUACUUUAGAAUUAUUUUGAUUCAUAGACUUUUGGAGGAUGAUCUGCAAUCUGGUAUCUGAAACUGACGAUUUAAAAAUAAUCACAACAGUAUUCAGCAGCAGUUUCUCCUGUCUUUAUAAGUGAUUUUAUAAACAUCAACUGUCUGAACCACAAAUUAAACAUUUUAAAACCCAUUUGAUAUCAUUGUAUUCAGUCUGAGCAAACUGCAAAAUUUUGUUCUGUUCACUUAAAGCUCCGAAACCGACUGUAUGCUACUCACUCUACAUUAAUCAGAGGGAGACAGAGUCAGCAACUGGCUUCUGAAAAGGUCUCACAUAAAGAUGUCUGUAGCAGUUGGUAGAUCCCAAAAAUGGAGCCAACGAGGAGCGUUUACAGAACUUCAGGUAUUAUUAUCAAAACUCUGAGACUGCAACAGGGGCAAUGUCUGAAAUUUCAAACAUACCAAGAGCUGCCAUAUGGUACCCUGUCGUCUGCUAAACUAUGUGAUGAAAGCCUCACGCUUGAAUUUGUCUGAAGAAAUGGCUGAAGCAAGGUUUUCCAUUUUGACUAGUUUGCAUCAAUAAAGGGCGGAGUGUCUCUGUCACUCUUUUUAACGAAGCCAAGCCUUCAUCAGCAGCAGAUCAGGAAUGUUGAGCAGUUGUGGUCCAACUUUUAAUGGGUGUGUUUGCUUUGUUGUGUUUUUAUAUUGUUAAAUUCUUCCUCGCUGAAGUCCGUGUUUAAGGGAUUAAGGUCAUAUGUCUGUGUCGGAGGUUAGUCCUUUAUUGGUUGGUCCAUAUGUGCUGGUGUUUGUCUGCGGAGAUCUGAAAGGCCUUCAGGCGUGCGCUAACAGCCGCUCAAGAAGGCUGACGGCUGAGCAGCAUGUGUUGCAGCAGCUGCUUGAGUGAUAUGUGGUGUUUGGAGGCUGUGUACAGAUUCAUAGAGGUCUGUCAGGCUAAAUACUGAAGUUACCUGAGUAUAAUUACAGUUCUCAAAGCAAACAGUCCAACCCUAAUUGACUUAAAUGUCAGUUAAGUGGCUGAGACCAUGAGUCUGGGGGAAGAUGUGUAGGCCUUUCUUUUUUAUGGGCUGAAAUGAUCAGCCUUGCUGUUCCUCAGGUCUUCGUACGGCCAAGCAUAAUGAAGGCCACAGUAAAUGUCUUUAUCACUGGAGGCUUUACAGAUUCGAGCAGUUAAAGCCUCUUACUGUUACUAUCUAUUAUUGCGGCCACAAAACUUCCAACCUGAUGUUUUGUUUGUAGUUAAGUGUUAUGGCGGAUAAGUCCAUGUUGCAGGGACACCCCAAGGCAUUGACUUGGGGCCACCGAACAUCUGUUUGCGAGAAAAAGUUCUAAAUAAAAUGUCCACUUUCUAAAUGUUUGACUUGAAAAAAAAAAAAGAAAGAGAAAUAAAACAGAUAACACAGAUUUUUUUUGCAAAGUUUUAAAUCACAAGCUGGACGUAUGUUAUCAUGAUUUUAGAAAAUAGAUGUAAACUGCUCAAAUUUUUGACAAAUGUGCAAAAAUAUGAGACCGUAGUUCAUGUGCGAGGUUUGCAAAAAUUCUGACGUAAAGAUUAUAGGCUCUCCUUACUGUGUGCUUUCAGCAAAGUGGUAAGGCCUAACUCCAACAGUGUCUCAGACGGAGGCUGAAAUAAUUAUAUUUUAAUACACCCUUGUGAGAAAUUUAAGGCUUUUUUUAUCUGAAAAUAAAGUAAAGCUAUUGAAAAGGUAUCAUAAAGGCACUGGAAGUCAGUCAGAUUUGCAGCUGCACUGUAACUUAUGGAGGGCUUAUGCAGCUUUGAAAUGAUAAUUGUUAUGUGUGGCACAUGUAAUGAAGAACUUUUCAAAUCAAACAUUCAGAUACCUCUCUGCAUAACGGAAACUCAGGGGUAGCUUUACAUACACUCACACUCACAGCACUGUCCCACCCUGCCAGCUCUGUUUUACAGUGACGCCAUUGAACUCCUGUUAAUCCUUCGCUGUCAGCUCAGCAUCAGAUGUGGAGGCGGCUUCAAACUUUUUGGUUAGCACUUCUUUCCUCUUUUUAUUGAAGACUAAAUGUGAAGGUGGGAUCAAGUUGGCCGCUGUUGCAGUUGCAGUGCAGUGGACUGUGUGUAAAAAGGUCAGCAGGAUUGGUGCCUAUUUGACAUGAUGGAUGACUUCAAUCUUACUGAUUAAAGGAACAUACCCCCCCAUAACACUUCAUUUAACAUUUUACUCAUCUGACAGGACCAAAAAAGUGGUGGGAAGCGAUUUCACUGCACAACAGAAAAGUUUACUUCCCCCUAAAAAAGAAAAUAAUACAAAAGGAUGUGUAACUCUGAUUUAUUUAAGAGAAAAGUUGAUUGUGUUUGUUGUCUGAGAAAGAACUGAAUCAAAGAUUUUAAUGUUUCAAACUCCAUCCUAUAAGCAAAACACUGUGAUGGGAUCAAUGACUGUACCAGUGGAAAAUACUGAAGAAAAACUAAAAAUAGAAGAUUUGUUUGCAGCUUUCCUCUAUAAUCUAGCAACUGUUUCACUGUUAAUCACUUGUGCGUCACUCUGGAGUUUCCAGCCGAACAAAUCAACGCAAAUCCCCGGAAGAGGACCUCGAAUCAGAGGAAAUGAAUCCUUAAUCUUGUUUGGUUCUGUUCCAAAUAACUUAUCACCCCCCAUUAUCGCUUCUCCAAGUUCUCAAAGAGGAAGUAAUUUGAAUGGAUAGUUCCUGCCAACUCAUUUCCUGUAUUCUGAUAUUUCCUUUUUUCAGACUGUGCCGUAUUGCUGAGCUGCUCUGAGGGGACUCCGCUCGCCGGGUUCCUGAUCAAAUCCUCACAGUGGAG